RNAcentral lists this long non-coding RNA (49324 nucleotides) under Vitis vinifera (wine grape). RNAcentral describes it as "long non-coding RNA (VVIN_LNC002094)". The stretch from base 550 to 636 matches the Rfam family "Small nucleolar RNA Z102/R77". Lineage: Eukaryota; Viridiplantae; Streptophyta; Magnoliopsida; Vitales; Vitaceae. The record is from RNAcentral.
UCGGACGGAUCUGGCUGAACUCUCUCGCUUUCUUCGCAAGGCGAAAAUGCUAGGCAGCCGUCAACAUUGUCGACUCGCCCUUGGUUACUAAUUUCGAUUAUUUUCUUCUGAUUUGAUUUGAUUUCUUGGUGAUGUUUUUGUGUUUUUGUUUUCGGAAACCUUUGGUUAGAUUAAUUUCUUUUUGUUUGAUUUCAUUUUUUGGUUAGCUUUUUGUGUUUUGUUUUCGAAAACCUUUUUGUUUUUUUAUGUAGAAGGAGAAUGAAAGGAUGAUUAUAUGUUUCCCUAUUGGUUUGAUCGCCGAGAUGAUGGCGAAUCUUUUGUAUUAGCUCUAUCUGAUUAUUCUCUUUAUUUUUUCGUUCUUGAUUUUUUUUUUUUCUGAAAAAUGGGAAUGCAAUUAGAUUUAAAAGACAGUAUUUGAGGGUGGAUCAUGAAUGCCAUUCGUCAGAUUGGCCAGAUGUAAUAGCUUUUUCGCAAUAGUAAUCCUCUGGUAAUACAGAAGAUUAUUGUUAUUAUUUUGUUUUUUAGUUUUAAUUUUUUUUAAGGAGGAGAGAAUGAUAUGAUGAAUGAAUUUGUUUCCCUAUUGGUUUGAUCGCCGGGAUGAUGGCGACAAAUAGUAUUAGCUCUAUCUGAUCAUUCUGUUCCUCCCUCUUGCGAUUUUUCAAUGUCUUAAAUGUUAAUAAAUCUUCGUUUCAAAAACCUAAUCGAGCUUUUCGGUCCUCUUUCGUUUUCAUCAAUUAUUUUUAUUUUUAUUUUUUGAUCACAUCCAUCCAUUUUUGUAUGGUUUUUUUUUAUGACAUCCAUAUGUAACAAGCCAAAUUUCAUCCCUUAUCCGAGUUACAACUAUUAAUCGAAUGACGAACGGCAUGUUGCAAUUAAUUAUUUUCAAAUUAUAAUUAAUACUAUACAAAAUUGUUUAAAGCAAGAAUAAGUAUGAUAUUUUUCAUCCUAAAAUAUCUUUGAAUUAGUAUUAAGUACACUGAUUCUCAAUAUAUAUAUAUAUUUCGAAGAAUACUGUAUGCAUUAUUAUUUGUUUCUUUAUUCUCAAAGUUUCAUUAAAAGUUUUUAUCUUUUCUUAUCAAUUUUGUGUACAAUUAUUUGUAUGCUAUCAAUAUUUUCCUAAAGUUCACAGCUAUUAAAGAUAGCCUUCAAGCAGACCCGGCCUAUUUAUUAAUCAUUUAGAUUAUUAUUAAAAAUGAGAAUUGGAAUAAAAAAAUUUAUUAUCAAAAAUUAAAUCUUCUUCUUCCUUUUAGUAGUAUGGUAAUUCCCGAUAUUUUAAUUCUACUCUAUUUUUAUUACCAUUUUCGCUCGCAGUUGUUUAAAAUGCAAAAUAGGAAUUUAAAUUGACUGGAGAAGUUGUAGGCAAGCGAGGGGAUUAAUGGCAUGUGCUAGAUGGUCCCAUUACUCUUUGUAUGGAUUUUUUUUAUUCAGAUGGAGGGUAUGUCUUCUUCACUAUGUUCAGUACUUCACUCCUUCAUUUGCUUCCAUACAUGUGAACUCAAAGGGUAUGUGAAAUACCCACUAUUAUUGCAAUGCCCAUACAUGCGAACAAAGGGUAUGUGUUAUACCCACUGUUAUUUGGAUUCAAAGCCCGUCAAUUCAUUGACUGCAACUUGAGCAAUAAUCUUCAAGUUCUUAUAAAGCUUAUAACCACCUAAAAUGUAAUUUGAUUCAAAAACUUGAACAAGCUCUAGCCUCAAGUGAUGCUUAUAGCCACCCAAUAAUGCCUUCCAUAUAACAGAUUAUGGUUUAAUUCUCAUGCUCCUUGUUAAUAACAAUGCAUCUUCAAGCAGACCAGCCUCGUCCAAAAGAUCAAUCAUGCUACCAUAGUGUUAAACCUGGAAAACGAGUCUUGCGUGAGUGUAGGCGUUUGGAAUAAUGGCCGGUGCUUCUUUUACAUAAUCAUGAAUUACAAGCCCAAGAGGUUGUUUCCUUAAAAAUAACCUUUAAGGGAUUUGCCAAAUGCCAUGGACUUAGUGAGUUCAAACCAUUUAAUGUUAUUAAGUUAAAAAGUUAGGAAGGCACAAGAAUGCUUUACAACUUUAGCAACGCUCUCAAAUGCUUGAUGUAUUUGCUCAAAUGAAAUCAUACCCUAUUUAUAAGCCAUAUGAAAUCAUACCCUAUUUACAAGCAUGAGUGAGUUUGUGAAAAAUUGAUUUUAAAAAAAGUUGGAGUUCAUGAAAUAAAAUCUUAAUAGUGACUCAUUUUGAAAGGAAAAACAUAUUUAUGAAAAAUUGAUUUUAGGUUCGAGGGUAAGUUACAUAUUAGGAAGGUAGUACUAUGGUAACAUUUCUUUAAACCUUAAAAAGGUUUCUACUAAUUAACUAGAAGGAAUUAAGACAAUUAGUUAAUAAAUUUAUGUAUAAGAGAUAUAAGUAACUCUUUAGAAAUCUCUACCCUUUCCCUUAUAUUCCAUCUUUGUGCAAAGAUUUGCAAAGGUCUUAAACUUCUAAAAUCUUCUACACUCCUCCGAUGGUGGAGGCAUAGAUGCCUCAAGGUGCUUCCAAAAGCUUCUUACCCCUUAUAUAAGCUCAAGGAAGGGUUGUGACACUAAGCUUUCACAAUUGGGAUGAGGUCCUACACUUAGUAUACAUGUUAGUUAGUGCAAACCCAUAUAGAGGUAUUUUCUUUCUUAAGCCAACAUAGAGAUGUAUUUCCUUUCAUAAGUCAAGUACUCAACCGGUACAAAUUGAAAUCACAAUUGUCAUGGUUACCUCGUCAGGGUUGAUCCCAUUAGUUUACCUCUUGGUAAAAAUUGCUAAAGCUUCUCUAUAUUGCUUGUUCUAAGAAUAGUAAGCGAUCAUGGUCGUCGAUGAAAUCAUAUCCUAUUAGAACUCAUAUUCCCAAUCUUAUCAUAAAUUGAAAUUAUAAUGAUUCAUUCAAAAACAACUUUCACAAAUUUCUCACCAAUUUUCUCAUCAAUUACCUCUUAACAUUUCCAUGCAAAUCCCUAUUCGCUUCACAAAUUUUACUAGCAUUCCCAUGCAAAUCAACCAAAGCAUUCUGAAUAAAUACGUGAGGAUAAAAUCCAUCUUUCUAAAUAUAACCAUGAAUAGCUUUUCUAAGCCCAGUGCAGAUACCAAACUGCAAGCCUUAUCUAAGGACGGAAAUGUAAAACUAGUGGGAAGACUUUGAGCUCCUAAUAUAUCAAAGGACUGAUCAUUGGAUUGUACACAAAAACAUUGGGCUCUUCGAGCAUGGAACAUUUCUUGAUUUUGUAGUUAAAGUUUUGCAUAUGUUUCAAAAAAAAAAAAUCUCACCCAUUUUCUAGAACAAACGGAGUUUAAAGUUUUCAAAAUUUUGACUAGAAAAGAGCCUCUGAUCAUAAAAUGUAUGAAAGUCUUGCAUUAUAAUUCUAUACACAAAAAGAAAAUUCAAAUUUAAAAUGAUCUAUUAAAAAAAACAAAGACAACAAAAAGCUCCAAAAAAAAAAGAAAAAGAAAAAGGCCAAAAGAAGAAACAACUUCAAAAUCCAGUAGAGUUCGAAAAUGCAAGAUUGAGGAUAGUUCAACAUACUGAAGUGAUUAGGAUUGAAAACUACCGAUACUUCUCCUCACAAACAUAGCAGAAAAGAGUCAAAUGUAGAUUUAUGACUUUAACUGGCUUGUGUCUUUUCAAAGUUGGUAAUUGUGGGAGGGUGAGGGCCAGUUGGCCAGAGCCUCCCCUCCAAACAAGCUGGAUGAUGAGUAUUUUACCUCUACUUUCUGAGGGAAAACUUGGGUUGCUCACCCACAUGGAGUAUGGAGCAUGAUGCCAGAGAAAGCCAAAGAAAUAAUUAUAGGUGAGCUGUCAAUUUGGAAAAUUCUAGAACCCAAUUUUGAAGAAUAUAAAAAUGACUUUGAUUAAAACUCUUGAGAAAUUUGCAUUUUAAACAGACAGACAACACAUGAUAUGUAAUGCUACUUGUAGAAACACUUUUUUUUUCUUUUUUUUCUCUUAUACUGCUAAUUUACUACUCAGAGAAACACUGGAACAAAAAAAUUCAAAAAACCCAUCAUUUUCUUUUCUUUAAGAGUGAAAACUCAAAGCUCCAAGUCCUAUCAUAGCACAGUGAGACCACUACUCAGUGUGUGUGUAUAUAUAUAUUUUCCCAAAAGCUUAUUCAAACCCACUUAAUAUGUAGCAAGAUUACCUCCUUAUUUCCCACUUCCAUCAAUUGCAUCUAACAUAUCAUCAUGUGUUUAUUAUUUAUCUUCCAACUUACCUUUACCGUUUACCACAUCUACCAAAUUAUCUCAACCUAAGAGUGCAAAGUUAUCUUUAGCCACCAAGGGAAUGGCGGGAUAUAGGUGUCUAAGCUUUGUGAUCAUCAUAAAACACCAAAGAAAAUUAGCAAGACUAGCUAGAUAGAUUAUAAGCCACCAGAGAAUCAAUUUUUUAAAAAUAAAAUAAUUUUGGUGAUGAUCAUAUAGAAAACCUUAAAUAUUGUCCUGGGCUGCUUUGGGUGUAGUCGGAAAGAUAGAUCCCACAAAAGGUUCCCCACUUUUGUGCUUACUAAACAUGGUUAGAUUGAAAUUGAACUCUAGUUUCUUUAUAAAUAAAUUGUAUCCAGGUUGCUGCAAACCAUAUCAACAUUGGUUACCAAAAUAGUUUCAAUAUCAGCAACCUACAAACAUUAAUUAUCAAUGACUCUGUUUUUCUUUUAUUUGGGUAGCAAAGACAGAAAAUUCUACAAUGCAGCUCUUGAUCGUUGCUUACAAUGAAUAUUGUAAGUAGAAGCAUGGAAUUAAAUAAUUAAUUCAUGGGUUCCUUCAAACACUUCUUAUUGAAGCCUAGAAUUAGAGGGGAACAAACAAGAUGUCUAAGAAGAACUUGUCAGAAGACUAGUUUCACACUGGACAUGAGCCUAGGUGUCUUGACCCAUGGAAGACAUGAUUGAGGCCUACCCAUGAGCCCAACAUUAAUUGGUUGCAGCAGACAGUACUAGUGUUAGAACCAUGGUAUUAAUUGGCCAUAACCGAUUACAACACCUCUAAGACACUCAAAAUUAUGAACACAGACCACCUUUGAACUAGAUGUGAUAUAUAUCCACAUCAAAUUAGCCAAAAAGUUUAUAGAUUUGUAUUUUCUUUUGACACACUUUGAAAUGACAUUAUUUUUAACACGACACUCCAUUUUGACCUUUGUAACUGGAUAUCCUAAACUAUCUGGCAUUCCACUUGCACUCUAGGAUGGUAGGCUGUGCACUGGUUUGGUGGACCUCUGUUUUUAUUGCAGUUCUAGAUUUGGAGCCUACAGCCUGAUUCCAAUCCGGCCAAGCCCAUAUCUUUUGGACCUGGGGCCUCCCCUAACCCUUGACUGCCCAACAACUCAGAUUCAAACCCAAGCCCACCAGAGAAACUUUUAAAACCUGUGUCUUCCAAACACGUCAUUCCUUUGUCAGUUGUUCCCUUCUUAAUACCGCUUAUAAAAUCCCCCAUUUUGUAGCUUUCUCAACUGUUGUAGCCUCACCUGUCUUCUCCUUGGUGUUUGAACACGACAUGUCCAUAUCUAUAGAAUGUAGAGGUUGCACCUUCUUUCCCACCCUUGUGCUGGUGCGUGAGCCACCCAUCAUAUUAGCCCUAACAUCCAUCUCACCAUGCUCACUGCUACAUCUUCUUGGCACAACUAGCCAAAAACAGGGUGUCACUUCCCACCACAACUGAAAGGAGAAGUUGGAACUACCUACUACAACUUGCAGCGCACCAUGCAUAUUGCUUCUAGAACUAAACUGAUAUUUGAGAGAAGAAAAAAAACAGAAAUUCAUGCUAUGAUGGAAAACUAGCAUGCUGCCAGCCCCACCCACCCAAAUAUGAUCAAACUACAACACAAAGCAAGCCAUUCCUCUUCCAACUGGUGCUGCAAACCACUAUUCCCUCUUUUCCCUUCACCACCCAAACGAAAAAAUCCAAUGGCAAUAGGAUUAAAUGGUACAACAAGUAGUCCUUCAAAGUGGAGAAAAAAAAAACAGAGUGGAAUACAACAAUUGCCUGUAACAUCCUAUCAAGUCAAUGAAAAAAAAUAACAAAAAUGCAUUGUAUUUAUUUGGGAUACCAUCUCCCUGAUUUGUCAUCCCAAAAUAAUUUCCCUGUCUAUGAAAGAAUAAUAUUAGAUAUUUGGAACAAUGAAAACCUUUCCAUUUGUCUUCAUCUGUACUAAUCUAUUCAAGUAUGAGGAAAACAACAUUAGUUGAGAGAGAGAUUUACCUGUAACUCUAUGAUGCUCUAUAGUAGAUUUUGACAAUGGUGCUCUCCCAUGGAAGUUAAGCAUGACCAUUCCAAUGGAUUAAGGCAUUUUAGUGGUGGACUUUAGUGAGAGCUCUAGGGUUUCGGGGUUUGUUGAGUUGGGAAAUGGUGGAAGAAAUGUUCGGCGGGUACUCGUAUAAAGGGAAAAACUUUUAGUUAAUAUAUAUUCGGAACAUAUAUAUAUAUAUAUAUACUAUUAUUUAAUGUCACCUGAUAUAAACGCCAAUGUAAAAUAUCACAACUAUGACACUGCUAUAAAGCGUCAUGGCAUAACUAGUUAUUCUUAUAAAGGCCACAUCAAGCAAUGAUACUUUAAAUAAGCGUCAUGAAAUAAAAAAACUACUGUAAAAAAUAACCCCUUUGAAAAGCGCCAUUGUAUAUCCCAAUAUAACGAUACUUUAUGAAAGCGCCAAGGAUUAAAGCGUCGGAAUUUUCUAUUUUUGUAGUAGUGAAUUUAGUUCAAGGUUUAAAUUAAAAGUGUGAAAUCAAGGUUUGGUUAAUCUCGAUUUUGAUAAUAACAAAAUAAAGUUUGGAACUAAUGAUUAUAUUUCAAGUGUGAUUAGACAAGAAGAUUUUCAAAGUGGCAAUCACAAAGACAAAAUCAAGCUAAAGAGAAAUCAAUAAGAAGAAGAAUAGCUCAAAGAGAAGUGUUUUUCAAAACCUAAGUAGUAUAGGAUUUCUUUGUAAGAUUGAUGGCGCACUAGGGUUUUCACUAGGUUUUUCAUGUAUUACAUUAUUUAUUUAUGCACUAAAAUAUUCAAGAGUUAUUUUGUUUUAAAUAUUUUAAAAUUGGAUAAUUUCAUGUUUUUAACUAAAACUUUGUGUUAAAUGCUUUCCAAUAUUGUUUAAAAGGUUUUAAGUUGAAAUUGAUGGUUGUUGAGCAAAAAAUGGCUCAACUAGUUGAACUAGAUGAGGAAUCGGUUGAACCGGAUGAGGAACCGGUCGACCUGUUCAACUUAAUCGGUCGACCUGUUCAACUUAAUCGGUCAACCUGUUUAGCUCAACUGGUCAAGGGGUGCAAAAACCUUCUCUCUCUUUCAAAAUGUUUGUUCAACCGAUUGAGGUUGGACCUCAACCGAUCAAAAGAUAAAAUUUUAAAAUAAAAUCCAAAUAGGUAAAUCUUUAGUAACAAUUGUUGGGUGUUAUUUGGUAGAAAUUUUUUUGGAUACUUAUUCGGUACAUAUUGAUCUUAUAAUCGGUAAUACAAAUAUAUAAAACCAAAAUACAAGAAAACAAGAUCAAUUACACAUGAAUAAGAUCAAAGUACAAAUAAAUGUACCAUAAGAUAAAGUGAUGAAAUAUAUAUAUUGUUGUGCCAAAACUUUAAUGCAAAUAACGUUAGAUUAAGAACACAAAGAUAAAACAAUCACACAUAUGGUACACGAGGUUUUAAUGUGGUUCAACCAAUUAUGUCUAAGUCCAUGGAUGAUGGAGAAUCAUUCUACUAUACAAUAGAGAAUAUUACAGAAGACAAAACUAGAUGCAACUAUUGGGUUUUCGAAACAUCCCAUGUUUUCCCAUUCUUUGUAUCCAUACCCUACCAUGAGUCAUCUCGGUCCAUCGGGUAUCUCCCGUUUUUCCUCACAUCUCCAUCCACCCUUGUAUUGUUUCUGCAAGCAUCAGACAUUUCUAUCUUCCUCUCAUAACCUAGAUUUUUUUAUAGAGAUAUUUCUAACAAUUUUCCUUAUUAUAUAAGGAAAUCUAAUAUUACAAUAAUAUAUCAACUUAGGAAUAUUUUAUAUAAUAUUAUUUACAAAAAGGAAUAUUUACUAAUUAGGAAUUUUGGACACUUUCCAACAAUCUUCACCUUGUACCAAAUUCCAUGAAGUCAAUCUUCAAUCUCUCUAUGACAUGGGCUCUUUGUAUCAUAUCCCCAUGAGAGAGCAAUGGACUCCACCUUUAACUGAAAUUCCUUUUGUCUUUAUCAUGUACAUUGCAUAAUCUUUUGUUCUUCCAAAAAUCUUCAACUCGAAGUUUUGAUACCAAUUUGUCGUACCAACAUAAGCUUUAAUGCAAACAACAUUAGAUCAAGAACACAAAGAUAAAACAAUAAUACAUACGGUACAUGAGGUUUUAACAUAGUUUGGCCAAUCAUGCCCACAUCCACAUAUGAAAGAUGAUCAUUUCAUUAUUAAUAUAAAAUAUUACCGAGGAUAAAACUAAAUACAACUAUUGGGUUUACGAAAUAUCUUAUGUUUAUCUACUCUUUGUAUUCAUACCCUAUCAUGAGCCAUUUCGCUUCACUAGGUAUUUCUCGUUCUUCCUCGCAUCUCUAUCUAUCUUAUAUAGUCUCUACAGACCCAUCUCUAUCUCAUGACUUUUUUCUUUCAUAACCUAGAAUAUUUAUAAAGAUAUUUCAAAUAACUUUCCUUAUUCUAUAAAAAAAUCUAAUAUUAUAAUAAUAUAUCAACUUAGGAAAUAUUUUAUACAAUAUUUUUUACAAAAAUGAAUCUUUACUAAUUAAAAAUUUGGAACACUUCCUAUAUAUAUGUAUAUGGAUUGAUCUUGUUUUUUAAGAAGUGUCAAUUCGAUAUUGUAGUAAGGCCUUUUUGGUAUUUGGGUGGUAGUUAGCCUUCUUAAGCAUGUUAAUUUCUUACUUUUAACAGAGAAAUGGGUUUGAUUUUAGCUCCUAAAAGUAUCAAAAUCCCAUGCUUUGCAAUAUAAUGAAUGCAGCUGAAAUGUUUGGUCAGGUGUCUGUUCUAAGGUUUUUUGCAGGCUUAAUUCCAAUAGAUUUUAAUCUCAAGGAAAUGAAAAAACCACCAACCACAUGUCAACACACAUCCUAUUUUUUAUUCUUAAAAUAAAAAAAUAGUUGUACUUUUAUAUAAGAUAUAAGAUCUUAAAAUAAGUUUGAAACAAAUUUAAAUUUUUUUAAGUGAUAUGUAAAGACAAAAGGUAAAAUUUAGUGAUCCGGUAGUGAUAUGAUAAAUAUAUAAUUUAUAUUUUAUUAAAAUUAAAAAUAAAUUUAAGAAAUUAUAUAUAUAAUUAAAAUGUUUAAUAAUAUUUUAUUUUUUAUAUGUUAUAUGCUAAAUCAAAUGCUAAAAAUAUAUUAAAUAAAAUAUGUAUAAUAUUUAAAUAUGAAGAUAUAUUUAAGAUGAAAAGAAAAUUAUAAUAUUUAAUUUUAUUUGCAUAUCUAUAUAUUUUAUUAUUUUAAAAUUUUAAAUUAUUAUAAUAAUUAAUUUAUAUUAUUUUCACAUUUAUUAUUAAUAAUUAUUAUUAAAAUAAGCAUGAAUGUAAAAUAUUUAAAACAUUAAAUAUAAAAAUAUACUAUGAUGACAUCGAAGGAGUUGUAUAGUUCAAUGGUCCUUUCUCAUUUUGUCAAUCAUAGGCCCUGUAAAAUGGUUGGUAGGCCAGAUCUAUAGUUUCCAAUAUCGGAAUAUUACAAACUACAUGUGCGGUGAAAAAUGGUUGGUGGGCCACAUUUAUUGUACACAUAAAAUGAUUUCCAAUGGUUGGUGGGUUUGGAUGUAAGAAACUUUAGGCCUAAUGAAAACAAGCCCAUCAAUGUUUGGGUCAAAUAAUGGUUGAUUUGGUCCGGUUCGAUGGUCCAAUUACCAGAAUUAAUGACGUUUCAGCUCAUUAAUGAUCCAUUUGACCCAAUCAGAACGGGAGGUGAGACGAAAUGGGCCGUCUCAAAUACAAAUGAAAAGGUAGAUGAGAUAUGACUUAUGAGAGAGAGAUAGAAGAGGCAAACUAGAGGCUUGUAAAAAGUCCUAGGCCAGCCCCCCACCCCUCCAGGGAAGGAAUCCUUUAGCUUCAACACAGUUAGGUCUGACCUACAGAAGGUGACAAACCUCAGCUUGUAAUUGUACUAACGAUUUCUCUUUUUUUAACCGGUAGAGAGGAGAACGAAAUAGAAUAUGUAAAAAUUCUAUUGAAAGACGAGCCACAACGAUCUUCAAAUCCAAACUUUUUAACUUUGUACGAAUAGUUCCUUUAUAAUCUUUAUGUUCAAACUACUGGGCAUAUGGAGAGAUGGGAGUUGACAAAGAUGACUGCAGAUAACAAGUCUUAAUUCCUUCUUAAUAUGCAUGCAUGCAUACAAAAUCAUGGACGUUUUGUUUGGAUGAAACAAUAUUGAUUCCGGAUUAACAAGAUGACAUAUGGUUUGAUAAUAUGAAUGUGUUGCCCUGGUUGAUGAGGGAGCAGCAGCAAUGGGCCAAUGGCUGUCAGACCAAAAUUUAUAUGAUUUCCGGUCCUGAUCUAUUGUACUUCAGAAUUCUGUUUCUUUAGGUGGGAGAUUCUCGAGGCGUGUGUGUUAGCAUGUACUGGCAUUGAUAUGAAAACUAGGAGUAGAAAAGGGUAAGGGACUAGGGAGGUCCACCAAUAUAAAGAAACAAGGAGGAUCUUUGGUGUUAGGGGAGCCCCUUUCCUAGCCUGGUCUACUCAACACGUGUUGUCAAGAAUCGUCUGCACUAAUCAUCAAAUCAAAGUCUGUCUUCAGAUCCUCAAGUUGGCCCUCACCCACCCACAUGUUAAGGGGAGAGGGGUUGAGGCUAGAGCCAGGGUUAGGGUAACCUUUUUGAGAGGUAUAGAUAGGGGCCAGACCCCCUCCUGACUCCUGAGUGACGUUGAGGUUGAGGAGGGAAAGGAAGGGGAAUCCACCCAUUAUUGCUGAAAAUCUUGAGGAGAGCGGUCCCCUCCCAUGGGUCUCAGGAAAGCCAGAAACCUCUCCUAGAAAAAUUCCAUAUCGACUCAGUACCCCUUUUGGUGGAAAGCUACAUCUCGAGAACUCUUGACAGCAAUAAAUGCCAUUCCCACAACAGCAAAGACAAAUACCACCAUAUUAGAGAGGGCCUUAAUCACCGGGUGGAUUGCAGACCAAGCUCCAGUGGCAGCCACCAUCCACCAUGAAAUAAGGGAGUUUUAUAAGCUAAAUUUGGGCAAGGGAAAAUGAAAACAAGUGAGGCUGACUUGUAAAAGCUGCCUCUCCUAUUAUAAAUGUUUGUUUGCAGCCGAUGCUGGGGAAGCUAGUUCAUUUCGGGAAGUUGUGGUCCAGAAACGACAAGCGGUUUCAGAGAAGACUUUAGCCCUUUUCGUGAGCGGUUAUAUAGAAAGGUUGGGAGCCCCCACCCCACCGUCUGAUGACCCGGCUUUGUCCUUAUUAGCUUUCGUUUUGUUCAAUUAAAAAAUAAUUUUGUAGCAACGUCCGAAAGACUUACCAGCGUGGGCGCAUCGUCACCUCAGCCGUUUGUCCCCACUCUAUUUCUUUAUCUCCCUUUGUAUAUUUUACAGUGCUGGGGAUGACAAAGAGUCUCUGAGGUCAUCUCUUCCGGCUUCCAAACUCGAGCAUCUCCUUCUCUUGAGUUUGAAUGGUCGCCAAGAAGAGACUCCAUACAAUGGAAGUUGCUGGAGAAUCUCUCAUUGAGAAUGGAGCAUAUUUUAAUAGAGCUAUAGAAGUGAAGAAGUUUGAUGAAACCAAAGCUGGAGUUAAAGGGCUUGUGGACUCUGGUGUGGAGAAGAUUCCCAGAUUCUUCAUCCACCCACCGGAGAACUUGCAGAGGUCUCUGUCUGAAACUGGUGGGACUAGUUUUCAGGUUCCAGUGAUAGAUUUCAGGGGCCUGGAUAUGGGUCAAAGAGCAGAGAUUGUGAGAGCAAUUCGCAAAGCUUCAGAGACAUGGGGCUUCUUCCAGAUGGUCAAUCAUGGAAUUCCAAUUACCAUCAUAGAAGAGGUGUUGGAAGGAGUGAGACGAUUCCAUGAGCAGCCGCAGGAGAUGAAGAUGGAGUGGUACUCACGGGACUCGAAGCAACCAGUGAAGUAUUACUGCAACGGGGACCUCCAUGUAUCAAAUGCUGCAAACUGGAGGGACUCCAUAUCCUGUGAGUUCCCGGAUGGAACUCUGGACCCCGAAGCUUUGCCUCGUGUAUGCAGGUUAGUUCCCUUGGACUCAACGCCCACGAAUAGCCCAAGUAAUUCCCUUGGACUCUUGUUUGUUACUAACUUUUCCUGCAGAAAGGAGAUAACAGCGUACAUCAAAUGCAUGGCUGAACUGAAGGAGAUGGUGGGUGAAUUACUAUCUGAGGCUCUGGGGCUGAGCAGUGACCACCUUAAGCAGAUGGGAUGUACGGAGACUCAAACAUUGGUGUGCCACUAUUACCCAGGUUGUCCCCAGCCAAACUUGACUCUAGGUGCUACCAAGCAUUCAGACCCGAGUUUUAUAACUAUUCUUCUGCAAGACAACAUUGGUGGCCUACAGGUUCUUCAUCAGAAUCAGUGGGUGGAUGUACCUCCUGUACAUGGAGCUCUGGUGGCAAACCUUGGGGAUUUCAUGCAGGUACAACUCUGAGCUGCUAGCUCUGUAUACUUACAUCCUGCUACUCCUAGCUAAAGCAACCUUUUUCUUUUCUCUGUUUGUGUUGGUCAGCUUAUCACCAAUGACAAGUUCAAGAGCGUGGAGCAUAGAGUACUGGCUAGACAGGUUGGACCGAGGAUAUCAGCUGCAUGUUUUUUCUAUCCGAGUACUAUCAAUACGUAUAAGCCUUAUGGGCCAAUAAAGGAGUUUCUAUCGGACAAUAAUCAGCCAAUCUACAGGGAAACUCAUGUCAAUGAAUAUUUAGCCUAUUACAGGUCCAAAGGAUUGGAUGGUACAUCAGCCCUUCCUCAUUUUAAGCUAUGAUGAAUGCAUGCUAGUAAUUUGUGUAGGGUUGAUUAUGGUGUGACGUGCUUUCAAAUUAUGUCCAAUCUGUAUUAGUACGGCUGUUAAUUUACUCUAUUGUUAUGAUGGAUCAUGUUUCUGUAUGAGCUCUAAUUUUAUAUUUCAUCUCAAGGUUUCGAGAAAUGGUGUAAAUGUUAAAAACUGUAAAAGACGACCCAAAAACCAUCGCAAUAACUGAUGAAGAUACUGAAACACUACACAAAGCACUCUGGAUUAUUAAACACCAAACUUCCAAACAAUGACAGAGUAAAAAAUUGGGCACGGAAAGAAAAAGAGCAGGAAAAAAAAAUGGCAUCUCCACACUUCUUAGAGAAACAAACGGAACUCUUUACAGAAAUAUCGGUUUGGUGGUGGGCGUGGAGAUCAUACAAACAAGCAUUGUGGACCAGGAACUCCCAUCAAAAGCUCAAAUGACUCUGGAUAUUGUACACAGGUGGCCCACAUCAUUCUCCAAAAGUUGAGCAGCCAUAGCUGGUUACAUUGUAGGCUUGGGUUGCAAAAUCUGCACAAGUGACCACAAGAUAUCCAUUCUUCGCAUGUUUCUGCUGUUCUGCCCCUGAAACAAUUUACACAUGACCACAAGAAGUAACUAAAUAAAAGUAUGGUGGAUAAAGAUAGUGGCACUAGUGGCUGAUAUUCUAAAAUGUAGCCCAUGUAAAUGCAGAUACCAGGAAGAUGAGCUUUGUUUGGUUUUUUUUGAGAAGCACAUGACAGGAAUAACAUUAAUGACACAAUUUAAAUAAUUUAAUUGAAAAUGCAGAGCUACAACAGCCAAAGUGGAGUUUGGAAGAAGUUAAUACAAUCUAUGGUUAGCAUCUUUUAAAUGCAUUUCUGUGACAUGACAUGUUUUUUCAUUGGACCAAUCCAGGUGAUAAUAGUCUCUGUAUGGAAGAAGAUUGUGUUCCUAACCAGAUACUUUAUCCACAAAUCAUGAUCCUACCUCAACCACAAAACAUAUCCAUGUCUUCUCGCCACGGGCCUCUGUCACACCUUUUAAGAUUGUCAGACCCAAGCUUCUGAUGGCUUCAGCUAUCUCAAGAAAACGGCUGCAUUCCUCACACACCAUCUGCACAGCAAACAAGAAAAUUUGAAAGAUUGAGACUAAUUCAAUGCAAAGUAGGGCAAUCAUAUGUGUUGCCUGUGAAGGAUUUAGGGACUGUCAUUCCCCAUCUUCUUUUUGAAUGGCUGCCUUCAGUGCACUUGUUUUUUUUUUUUGUGCUGCCUACUUAUUUCUGCAGGGAACUUCCUAUUCCUGCCUUCCUGCUCUAAUAAUCAUCUGUUUCUGAUUAAAAAUUGAUCAUAUUGCAAAAUUUCAACCUAUCAGACCAGUACAUACCUCUACAACCAUCUGACCGUCCAUGUUAAGAUUCUCUACUAUUAUAGGACAAACCUUCAUAUGGCUUCCCACCUCCACUGCCCAGCUUGAACCCUGUUCAUAAUUAGAGGAGCCUAGCACACCUGUUUCCUUGCUAUGCAACUGCAAAUUCAGUAAUACAAUGUAAAUUGGCAGGAAAAUGAUAAUUGAAGCCAAUCUUUCUUAUAGUUAGUGGAUAAUUUCCAAUUCCAUAACAGAAUGUCAAUUAUUAAUCUGCAGAAGUUAUCCUAAAACGACGGCUUGAAAAGAAAGAAUCUACUACUAAAUGCCAGCAAUGUAUAAUAACAAUUAUUUUUCCAGUUAAUAGAUGAAUAAAAUUCAGUGUAGUUGCAUAUGCAAGUACCAAAGUUUUGGACAGAGGAACACCAAAAAGAAUGCUGACAAUAGCUGAUAUAGGUUACUAGGAAAAGUACAACUUCUAGUUUCUGACUCUUAAUAUGGGAUGGUGGUUAAGUCCCUUAUCCACAAGGCUUGUUCAAUUGGAACAAAAAAUUGGAUGCUUGCUUUUUACCUUUGAUUCAGCACAUUUGUUUAGCUUGUCAGCAUGUCUCGUGAUGCUCUGCAGAAAUAGCAUGUGCUUGAUUGUGCGCUCCAGCAGUGAAUCAAUACUGCACUGUUCAAUUAUCUUGAAAUUCUCAGCACAUAUGAAGGUAAGAGAUUACAUGAAAAAAUUUGCAAGCCAUCAUAAUUCGAAAACUCGGCAGGGAGAAUGGAUUGCAUGAGAGAUACCUUUGACCCAUUUGGCACAAGCUCUCUCAGCUCCUUUAUACGAUCUUGAAUUAAUUGUCUGUCCCUUGGCCUAGGCCUACAACUUUCACCAGGUCUAGCCCUCUUUUUGUUGACCUUAGAUGGUUCUGCAGACCGCUCCAACUGCUCACUACAUGAACUUGGACAAAUUGAUGAAAUCCCCUGCUGAGAUGUUACACCACAUACCUCUGAUGAUUUGAAGCAGUUUUGUGUCUCUUCUACAAGAGAGGACUGAUCGAUUGAAUAACCUGCUGAAGUAACAGUAUGUAUAGUAUGGCUAGAAGGCUCUGGAAUUUUUUCAGUUGUCAACAGAGAUUGCAUUGACUGACAGAAUGAUUUCUCACUUUUAACAUCACUACCACUUUGGCAAACUUUAGCUACCACUGCCUCUAGAAGAUUCUCCGAUCCAGAAUCUGACGUCAAUUGGCUGCUGCUCAUCCCCUCUGGCAACUCAAUAGUUGUCUCGGUUUCAGCCUUCUCUGUUUCCCAAUCACAAUAGUUGCUCUGUUUCAGAAAAGCUGGACCUAAUGCUUCAUGCAGCUCACUACCAGCAGAGAACCUUAAAGAUGUAUAUGAUGUGUCCACAUGACUCAAUUCUGAUGGGAACUCCAACUUCUUUUCCAAAUUUUUUUGGAGUUGCAUAUCUGAAGGAUCCGGUAAGUGCAAUACCCCAUUUUCAUGACAAUUGACACCAUGAAGCUUAAUUCUAUUACAAUCCACAGAAUCAAAGAAACCAAAAGGGAAGCAUGCAAAAUCUACUUGAGACUUAUCGGCUGCAAGUGCAGUGCUACAUGAAUUAAUAUUCUCCAUAAAGGAAUUGUAUGGAUAUGAGGUGUCAUUGUGUUCAGAACUCACAUCCGCAUCCCUCCAACCACUAGCUUCUUCACGCUUUGUGUUACUAAUCAGUUUCAUUUGCACUUGUUUCUGACCCUCCAAAACAAAGUUUUCAGAUCUUGGCUGAAGAAAUUUGGUGCUUUCAUCACUCUGCGAUGAGGAUAAUUCAAGCCCUCCAUCCUUAUUGAACAUGUUUACUGCCCUGUUCUGAUGGAUAGCAGGCAGCUGAAAAAUGAAAGAACUAUCAUUGUGUUUCCCAAAAAUUGGGAACAUAGGAGACCAUACAUUUGGCCUUUCUUUGUGUAUGCCUUUAUCUAGAUUGAAUAGGCUAUCAGGGACUAUAUCUGAAGCAGAACCUCUUGUAGAUAUAUCUGACUGAGCAAAAGAAGAGCACCAUAAAUGCUGGCAUACUAUAAUAGUUAACAUGAAUGGCACGCACGCACACUGACACACUCACACACACUCACACACACAUGCCUGCAUACAGUUAUCAGAAGCAGAACUUGUAGAUAUGUUUGGCUGAGAAAAACAAGAGCACCAUAAAUGCUGGCAUACUAUAAUACUUAGCAUGAGUUGAUGUGCAUGCACUAACCAUACAGAGAGAGAGAGAGAGAGAGAGAGAGGUGAGGUACCAUAGCUAAAGAGCUCUUCAUACUACAUUGAAUAGGAUGAGGAAUAUAAGCCACUGAAGAAUCUUGAAGUGCAAAGAAGACAUCUUUGAUGCGAGACACCAGCUUCAAAUCCUCAACAACCUGCUUUCCUCAAGUGAAGGAAAGAACAGAUAAGUAAAUGUAGGUUUAAAUGAUGCAUAGAUUAUGACUUAAGAGACUUGAGGUUGUAUGUCGCAUUGCAGAGAUCCAUUAUAACAAAAUUAAUGCAUACAUUUAAAAGUUCUAUUCUAACAAAGGGAGAUAUUGCAUAAGACCAAGCACAAAGUAUGGUAAUAAACUCGAUACUAGAAAUAAAAGCAAUGUUGAAAACUUGGAGCAACAAAUGCAAACAUUCGUCUUUAAUAAGUAGCCACACUGCCCAGGCAACCAAAAAAGGUGAGGUGAAAAUUUGUGGUGCAUAGCAACUAUUUAGUUGUUUAACUAAUCAACGAUUGGAAGAUUGCUCAUCAACUCAUGCAAAUCGAGUAAAAGCUCUCGCUUUCUAGUGGUGUCCACACUGCCAGCUGCUUGGGAUAUUACACUUACAGGUUCCAUUCCCAUAAGGCAUUUUCAACUGUUUUAGUGAACCAGACAACAAUGUGACAUGGUCCACAUAGUAAUAAGUUUGUUGUCAUCAGUACCAUAUUCUAGAACAGAUGUCAGACGUUCCAAAAAUUGAUUCUUGAAGCCUCAUACAAAUAUACUUCAUUUUGUAAUCUGAUUUGAAAGUUGAACAAUUCUCAAGCAGGAUAUUGUUUAAAUUUAACCAGAUCACCUUUACAGUAUGUUAAGUUUACUGACAUAGGAUGUUAUGGAUGCUUGCAAUUGUCGCUUUUAUCAAUUAUCAUACACCCGCUUCAAAAUACUAGAGAAGCAACAGAUAAGUGCAUUGCAUUUCAGAAAAGUUAUUAAAGAAAAAAACCAAAAAAAAAAAAAAUGGAUCCAACAACCAAUCAGAUUUCAAAAAUGAGCUACCAUGCACGAUUUGUCAAUGCAACAAAUGGCUAGAAAUUAUCUUACUUGCUGUAAAGAGCCAAGCUGUACAACUCCAUGUGGAACAACAGCCACAACAACAAUGGUCUGCACAACAAAGGAAAAUGGUUUAUGUCAACAGAAUGUCUCUGUACAGUUAAGACAAAUGCCAAGUAUAAGGCAAAACAAACUAAAUGUAGUAGAAAAGGUUCCCUAAUCUAAGAAUUUUAUCUUGAAUUGUAUAGCCAUCAAUCCAUUAUUUAUGAAUCAAUAAGAGAAGUCCUAAACUUUUUCCUAUUGAGUAAAGAACUUCGAAGAAAUGAUGGAAUGUAUUCAAUCACUAAGGUGAAUGAACAAAACCAUGGAAAUAAACAUCAGGAGUAGAAAUUGUUUAUAAAUCAUCAUAUCGAUGCGAAUAUGACAAAAUCUAAUGCAAUUCUAACUGUCCAAGGCAGUAAAUUCACUUUUGACAUUAAAAAAAAGGCACUACUUGGGUGCGAAAAUGACAGUAUGUUGACCCAAACCUACCAAAAGUUGCAUCCCUUGCACAACCCUAAUCCCCACAGUGAUGCCUCGAAAAGAAAAAGGAGCAUCUCAAUAGAUAAAACUUUCACUACAGAGACUAAAAUGCAACUACGUGCAACUACAUAAUAUUCUUACCAUUGAAAGGCCAUCAUCUGAUGGGUUCAGCAUCAACUGUGUAUGUGUAAGGUGGCUACCAAUCAUAAAUCUAAUAUUUGCAGGUUGAUAAUGAGUAAGAAGGAUGCACAAAAAAAAAACGAGAAUUUUCAAGAUAAACAUAUUUGACAUGAACAGCUCCAAGAGGUGAAAGAAUGAAAGGACAGCCAAAUCAAAUAGCAUAAACAUCUAAGAGAGACGGGAAACAACAUCACCAGUGAGAAGUAGUACAGGUAUCUAAAAUGCUGGUGGAGGACAAGGUGGAGGUGUUGAGGGUAGAAAAGGAUAUAAAUGAGUUAGAUUUAAAAUAUUAGAAUGGAGGUAAAAAUGGGGAUGAAAGAGUUCCAGUUCAAAUUCAAGUAGUUUAGAAAAGGCAUUACAGAUUUAUGGUGACCAGGAGGACAUUAAAAAGGCAACUAGUUAAAUCCACUACUCUUCUGAUUCUCAGUUCAAGGAUUAAAAUAGGUUCACAAUAAGCAGCUUUCAUCAUGCUGGCUAUGCCACAGCCUGUAGCCCAAAUGUAGAUUAAAAAUAAAUGUAGUGAAAACCACCAAAUGACCAUAAUAAUUCAAUAGAUCAUUCUUCUUUACUAUUAGUGGAAGUGUAUUAACAUCAGCCCAUAAGGGCCAGUAAUUAGAUUGGCUACUUUUGUUUUUUUCCAUAUCCUGACAAUAACCAUAAAAAUGCCCCUAAAAAACUGUUUGCUAGCCUGUGCAUAUGAAUGUCUCCAUAUGAUAUCAUUCAUCACAACAAAUAAAAUAAAUUACAGAGAGAAAACAUACCUUAAUCCCAGCUGAAAACUGUGCUUGCCACCCAUCACAGUACUGGAAAUCAACCAAAAAUCAUGAAUAAGAAAGAAAAAAAUUGCAAAUAAUCAGUGCAGUAAUAGAACCUAAUCCAUUUUCCAGUGUAAUCACCUCAAAUGAUGAAGAGGAAUUAGUUGUAUGCUUAUCUGAAAAAAUCCACUGAUGCUUUCCAGUAACUGCCACCUGUCCAACAAUCCUGUUCAACAAAGGACUAAUGUGAAAACUACAACAGAAGGUCUUUCCUGGACUUGAAUUGUUUUGAAUUUGAACUAUUACCCCCAAUGAGAACAGUAUAGACAGGUAAUGAACCUGUAAGCAUAAUUGGACGAGAAUGAUAAUUGAUAAAAGAUAUUUUAUAAUUUUAAAUCUGCCCAAUUAAUGCUGACUUGAGUAAGGAGAUGUAAUUGGAAAAGAGAGUGACAUGAUGCAAGACUGCAACAACACCGAUAUAUAGAUGAUAACUUCUAAUGACAAUGGAUAAUUUCCAUUAGGUAAAACUUUCUUCCCACCAAACUAUAUGGUCCCAGUCAAGCUAUUGUACUAUGGCAGGUGAAAGAUAAAUCAGUUAAGAGACAUACCCUUCCCCUAGAGAAUACACAUGAUAUGACAUCUUUGCCACAGCCAACCCAAGAGCAUCAUGUGAAUAGUGCCCAUCAUGCAAGGUGUCUGGUGUCUUGCUGAAGCACUUAUCCUCCAAAGGAUCAUGUUGGUCAUGGUUGUCAUAGUAAGCAUCCUCCCAAGUCAACACCCUGCAAGAAAUUCCAUAUGCCAAAAUGAAAAAGACAGGAACAUUGUAAGAUGUUUAACUCCUGAAAAGGCCUAACUCCUAAUCUCAAUGCUCAACCACAACAAAAAAUUCUUCCAACAUGCAUGCACACACAAGAAUAAACCAUGUUAACAUUCAAUUCCAUGAAAAAAUUAUUAUACACAAUAAUAAGUAGACAAACUUGAAUUCCUUCAGGUGGAGACAUGAUGCAGGUACCAUCUAAAAUCACAGGCAAGCCUAAUAACUACAAUUAUAUAUAUAUAUAUGUAUUUUUUUUUUUUAAAUCAGAAGCCUAAUAACUACAAUUGCACCUUCCAUUUGACAAGCCAGAUCCAAUUGAAGUAUUCUUUCACCAGUAUAGACAUUAUAGCACCCAUUCAUUUUCUUUGGAAACAAAAUUAUAAUUAGAAGAUAUACUAGCUCUAAUCCAUCCCAAAAUUUUACAUAUACCUAGAUGUAUAACACAUGAUCAUCGACUUGCAAGCCUCAAAUUCCAGACUUGAAAUAUGCAAUUUACAAGCCAUAUUCUUGCAACUGAAAUCUAUUUGUAGUAAACAAAUAAGAACACAUAAAUUAAAACAUUACAGUUAUCAUAGAAAGAGGUUUUGAAUUCAUGAAUUGAAAUCAAAAUUCUCAUUCGCAGUACAUUGGAUUAGCCAAAUUUACGACCAAAUUUUGAGAAACCCCACACUUCUCAAUCUUUUCAAUGACCCAAUCGAAUUCCCUUCAAUGUCAACAGAAUUUCCUAAUAACUGGUUCAGAUUUCCAGAAAAAUAUAAUGUUGUGUUUUCCAUUUUUUUGUUCAUGAACUUUGAAAUAACCAAUUAACCUAACCUAGUACAAUUAUUUGCCGAGUAAAGUUGAGCUUUAUCUAGAACUACAAGUUUCUUCUCUUUCUGAAAUAAUCAACUCAAUUAAAUCCAGUACAAUUAUUUGCUGAAUCAAUCAACCUUUUUAAUUUCCUAAAAACCCAAACAAUGAAACAUCUAAAACCAGAAUUCCCUUUCCAAGCCAUUAAAUCAGGCAAAACUAUUGGCUGAGUUCGUUGCUUUUCAUUUUCUUAAAAAGCACACAACUAAACAUCUAAAACUACAAUUUCCACUCCUUUUAAUAUAAUCAACUCAGUCAAUCUAGCACAAUUAUUGAAGGAGUUAGUCAAGCUUUGCAUUUUCUUAGAGAUCAAAGCACAAAACCCAAAGCACCAAUACCCUUGUUUUUCUUCUCCUGUUUUCUCAACUACGAAACGAAGUGUAUAUGCAUGAAAGACACGAAAAAGGGCUAGAAGAUAAGAGAAGCAAAGAAUCAACUUACAUGCGAGCCCGAUGUUUGAGUUUCCAAAAGACGGCGUACUUCCACUCAGUAUUGAAACAGAGGCUUCUCAGCGUUUGCUGCAAGUCAGUAGCCAUCUCUUCACCCCCUCAAAAUCCUAAUACGCCCCUAAAAUUUCCUUCAAUUGGGUCAACCAAACCUCCAAAAAAAAAAGCUUAAUUUCCUGCGAUUUCCAUCUGCCCCUAGCUCCCCCUGUAAGAUCCUCUACCCGCCUGUUUAAUCCGCAACCCAGCUCGCCGCUUUAUUGGCGGUCCUACCGUCGGCAGGAGCAGCCGAUCCAUCACCCCCCUCCCUCCUUCCCCCCCUCUACCCAAAAACCCAAACUCAAUUCACUCAAAGUCGCUCAAACAACUGAAAUCACGAUACCGACAAUCAAGAUUUCGAAACAGAGCAACAACAAGAUACAGUUUCCACACUCAGCCAUUAGAUUGUCCGGACACUGUUCCUCUUUUCCACCACAGUCUGUAGCGAAAUGUAGGGAGCACAACAAUGCGAAGACUAGCUUAUAUCGAACGACAUGGAGGAUGAAAAUCCGAGCUCCAGGGAGAUCAACUUACGAAGAAGUCACAAAAUUGAAUUGAAUAGAUGAAUGAAAGUUUCAGAUGGGAACAAAAAGCAUUGCCAAGUGGUGCCCUAGUGCAUCAAGAGUGGAACUCGACGCUUUGGCUGAGUGAGAAAUGAGAAGCAGAGAUGAAUUCAGAGGUGUGAGCCACAUGUGGUGCCAUUAUAGAGAGAGAAAGAAGAGAGAGAAAGCACCUAAAAGGGAGGCUAGAGAGAGAAGUAGAAAGAAAAGCCUCAAAGCUUUUCUUUUGCUUUGUAGAGAGAGAAAGCAGACCAAGCCGUUUGCUUUUGAGAGAGAGAUGGAGAUGGUGAAUAAAAUUAUAAAAGAGCUAUUUUUUGUUUGAUACCUGGCUUAUAUAUAGCUGUUAUAUGCUGCGCCAGGUUUCUAUCUUACGCAGGAUGCCCCCAGUACGCACCCCCUCAAUGGACGCUCCUCCAUUAUCCUCCUGCCCAUCAUGCUUACCCUAUAAUUCACUUCUCUUCUGCGGCUUGUCGUCACUCGCCACCCACUAAUUCCCCACUUAAAUUACGAAAUCGCCACUAAACUCCACUCCUCACUUGUUACUCCUUUUAUCCUACGCACCAUGCUCACCUUAGCAUCCCCCUCCCCCCACUCCCACGGCCUACGCUUCACUUUAGACCUUCACCUCUGCCUUUAUAAAACAGAAGCACCCCCCCACUAGAAGUCACACGACAGUGAGUUUAUUUAUCCUUCACAUCAUGCUUACUUUAGAAACCCCCAUUAAAUUACAAAAUUACCCAACAGUAGCUGAUUUGGAGGGAGAGGGAGAAAGAGUAUUAUUAAUGGAAAGGAGAGAAGACAAAAUUUUAAAAUAAUAAAAAAAAACCCAAUAGUUGCUAAUUUGGAAGGGGAGAGAGAGAGAGACACACACAGGGCCAAAGGAAGAUGAGUGGCCUGAGAAUCUGAGAUGGGGAGAGGGGGAGAGAGAGACUUAUUAAUGGAAUGAAAAGAAAAAUUUCAAAAAAAAAAAAAAAAAAAAGAGAAGAAAGUAAAGAAAAGAAAGAAAGAAAGAGAGAGAGUGAAAAACCAUUCAAUUCAAGCGAGUCAUUGAUGGCAAACAGCAUAAUGUCAAUGUUAGGGAAAAUGCUUCUUAUCCUCUUUCAAAAUCAAUGAACUUACCCUUCACAAGCCCUUUUCAAACAAUGAUUCUACUGCUAAAAGUUGUGACACCCUACACCUCAAUUACCAUUGUCCCCCCCUUUUUUUUCUCUUUGUGCAUUCAUAUUGAUCUCUUCCUCCUCCCCCUCCUCCUAUAUCUGCCCUCCAAGUGUGCCCAUCAAGUGGCAUUCAAUUGCUAUGAUUGGACCAUUUGGAACCACCAUAAUGCUCACAUUUAAUUUCAUUCCACCUCUCUCCCCCAAAUCCUCCUUUCCCUUUACUCAUGGGGGCUCAUAACAUGUCUUGUUUUGUUUAUUCUCCUUGUGCCUCACCAGCUCUACAUCCUCUUUCAGAUCCCAUGAUUCCAACUUAACACCAUACCAUCCCAUUUUCAUGGAUUUAUUAAUUUCUACUCAUUUUCUCCUUUUUUUUUUUUUUAGCCUUUCUCUUUGGGAGCAGGUUGAUUAUUUUUUCUUUUCAAUGAAUUUUUUUUCCUACCCAUCACAACAAACAAUAAAAAGUAAAGUUGGGAGGAAGAGGGAAGAGGAAAGCAAAAUGAUCACAUGAUCAAUCAUCCAAGAGAUCCCAUUGAUUAACAACCUUACUUUAAUUGAAAAAGAUUCAAUUUGUCGGAAAGUAAUAGAAAGAAAUUCCACCUAGUUUUAUAACAAGUAUUUUUUUUUUCUUUUAUAUAUAGGUCAAUGACGUUGAUCUUUUUCUUUGUUUUAUCAUUUUUACAUAUUUUUCUCAUUUUGAUCAUUUCAUUUCAAAUGUUAGAGUUUUUAGGUCAAACCAGUCAUCUACAAGCUUAACCAAAAGUAAUCAUAUAAAAAUAAUUUAAGACAAAUUAUAUCUUAUUAUUUUCUUAGAUGUUGAAAAGAUUUUUGAAUCAAUGUUGAUGAUUUAGCAAGGUUAAUUAUCUUUUAAGGAAUUAAUGGGCAUUAGGGUUCAUUGAAUGAAGUCAAAACAUACUUAAUUAUGCAUGAAGAAGCUAUAAGUAGUGAUGCAAAUGAUAAGUCAUUUUCCCAUACAUAAAAGAAAACAGGGAAAGGAAUGAGUAGUAUCAUGAAUGCAAAGAGACAAAGGACAAUCAUAUCUUCUCUUUGCUUCCUCCAUUCUCCAUUCUCUAAUAAAAUGCAAAAAAAAAAAAAAUCAAAACCCUAAUUAAAUAUACCCAUACUUAAUCAGAUGGUCUCAUUACUAUAUGAGGUAAGUCUUAUGUAAGGUUGCAAAAUAUAAAGCUAAUGCAUUUUUUUUAUUAGGGUUUCAAUAUUAAUACAUUUAGAUUCCAACCCUAGCUACCCUUGAUCAUUAAUCUCUAUCAUCUCUCUCUCUCUCUCUCUCUCUCUCAUAUAUUCAUUGGAAACCAAUAUCACCUAAGUAGAUUUUGUAGCUCACCUUUUUACUAACAUGUAAUCUCUAGAGAGAGACACCAUAGUCUCCCUAGUCAUGAGUGAGGGUUUGAUAUCUCUCCCCAAAGUCAAUAUAGAUGGGCUUGAAAAUGGAUACCUAUUUGAUUGUAUAUGUGACACUAGUGGCCAUUACCUAAAUAAACUAUGCUAUAUAAUUAGUAAAAGAAAUUGCAGAUCCAUGAUCAUCAACUCUAUCAAUUGGGUCUCCUUGUAAUAAGAAUGAGAAUGAGACCCGAAAAUACCAUUGAACCUUUCAUCAGAAAGCUCCUUGAGAGCCCAUCCUUACUGGGGUUUUCUGUUUCAUAAAGAAAGGAUUAGGGUUUAGUCACCUCAUCAUUCUCACAACAAGUCUACGGACAUAUAUAUACACAUCUAUAGAAAGAGAGAGAGAGAGAGAAGGAGAAUCCAAUGAUGAAUAGCACUGUAAAGAUACAGAAAUCAAAUGAUUUUCCAUCUUAUAAUAUAGUCUAAAGAUUUUUAGAAGCAAGGUCACGUAGUAAUCAACUGAUAUAUAUGGCCAUCAAAUCAAGAUCAGCCCACCACAAACAUAUAUUAAUUUGCAGUGUACGUGAACUCAAAAUUCAAAGAAAUUUUCUCCUACUUCCAUGAAAGUCCAUGGUCUUUUUAGGGCUGCUGAUGCUACUGCCGUGGGUACGAAAUAGCAGUAAAAUGAAAGCAAACCAUUGCUUCUACAUGAAAUAUAGUGAUUAUCAACAUUACAACAACUCUCAUUCUCUGCCAUUUUUCCUGUAUCAGAUCAUUAUUACACUAAGUGAAGACUUAUGCUUCUAAUCAGUAUACAUAUUAUGAAGCAAUCCCAUUAUAUAUCAGAAUGUAAUGAAGUUUAUUAUUACUGUCAGCAAUAAUCAGAUGGAGUGGCUGUGAAUGAUGGAAUUAUUGUAACGAAAAAAGUCAAAAAAUGGAGUGUUUUAGAAUACUGGAAAGUGCUUUUCUACCUACCAUGGAAGGCACAAACUAAGUGUUUGUAACCACAAGAAAUUCUGGGAGGAUUUGGUGCUUAAUCCAAUUGAUACUAGGAAGAUAAUAAAGGUGUUUUAGUGGCAUUUGUGGGAUAUUUAAUUAAUAAACUAUAUAUUUAAAGAAGGGGUUAGAGGCCAUCAAUGAAAAGCUUUUCUUUUUCCCCCCUUUUUUUUUUCCUCUUCUGUUUGGCUCUCCAGAAAGUGAAUCAUGUCCACCAUUUUAGUAGGAAAAGAUCCGCAUCAAUUAAAGUUUUAGGUUGUAGCUGAAGUGCUUUACACUUGUAUAUAUCACUGGCUAACUUGGAUUUGAUCUCCUUUCACAUACUGUAGAGCUGGAGAGAGACUCUAGUCCCAUUCUCACCUGUUUCCAUUAUAAAUUCUUGAUGGGUUUUAUUUAUUUAUUAAUUGUUUUUUUUUAAAUCUAGGAAUGGAAAUUUACAUUUUUUUUUUCCCACUCUUAAUGUCACAAAUUGAGGUAAAAAUUAUAUUUUCUAAAUAAUGAAAUCUUCUAUUAAAUUAGGAAAAUGUUGAGUUCAUAUCCACUUGUCACUUUUUAUUAUUUAUUUUUAUUUUUAUCCUAUUCAAAUUCUUAUUUACACAUGUUUAUAUGAAAUUGGGAUUAAGAAGGGAAUUUUGAAAUUAAAAUGCUGUAAAAUUUUAAAAGUCAUUUUUCUACGCAUUCAUAUAUUUAAAUAAAGUUUUAUUUGAGGUAACUUCCUAUUUUUAGCUUUAAUAAAAAAAUUGAAGUAAACUAAAGUCAUAAUUUUUAAAAAUUAAUAUUAAUAUUGUAAAAUUUUUAUUAAAUGUAAAAAAACUUUUUAUAUGAGUCAAACUAUUUUUUUUUUUUAAAAUAACGAGUAUGUAAGGUAACUAUUUUCAAAAAUAGUUUUUAAGAACACUUUUAUAAUAUUUUAUAGAAUAAAAAUAUGUUUGUAAACUUAAAAUGUUUUUAACAUGUUUUUAAAUACUUUUAAAUAUGUUUCAGAAAUAAAUUUUAUGUCUAGUGUUUUAUUUUUAACAUUUUAUAUAUUUAUAUAAUUAUAUUUUAAACAAUUCUAAAAAAAAGUAAAAAUAUGUAAAGAAAAUAGAAAACAGUUUUUACUUGUUAAACACAUUUUUUUUAUUUUUUUAUUCUGAAAUUUUUUCUUGAAAACCGUUCUCAAAUAACUUAUUAUAUUUUUCUAAUUUUCAUAUUAACUUAUUUUAGGUCAUAGACCCUUUGAACCAAAUUAUGCAAGCAAGCAAGAGCUCUUAAUGAGCUUAAAAAAAGAGUUUUUAUUUCUCAAAAAUCGAUCCAAACAGGACUUGACCAUUCCCAAUAAUAACAAAAUUAUUAUUCUAAUUAAUAAAAAAAAAAUAAAAACUAUGAUAAUAAAAGGGGUCAUUCAUUAGAAAACAAGUCUCUUUAAAUUAAAUUGUCUAUAACCAAAAGUAAUGAUCUUUUUGUGAUCUUUAAUUACUCCAUGUAUCAAAAAAAAAAAAAAAAAAAAUUAUACACUCUAAAGGAAAAACUAACAUUGAUAGAUGAUGAACUAAUUUGGUGCAAGUGUAAAAUAAUUUAAUAAUAUUUGAAAACUGCAGCACUCAAUGAAUUUACAUGACCAAAAAAAAAGCUGGGCAUGAUGUGGAAUUCACUAAGAAGAUAGAUAAUGGGCAUUAAUUUUUGUCACAACACUCAAAAAAAAAAAAAAAAAAAAAAAAAAGGAAGCUCAAACACCCAUAAUGAUUUGAUAUUGAAUUCACUCUAUAGAGAGAAUCCAGAAACAAAUUCAUGGGUCUCCACAACAGUCAAUUAAGCAGCCAGCUGGUUACUUUGUCACUGUAUUCUUUGAUGAUGAUGAUGAUGGAGUAUCUAUUAUUAUGGAACUUAAUGAAAAAGGAGAAAUAUUGUGCAAUCUUUUCCAUGUCCAAUUGGACCAUGUAACCUUAAUUUAUUCGUCACUGCAAGCAUAAAGAGGGACAAGAAUGGUAGAUGGACCCAUGAAAAAGGUUACCAGAAGAAAUUUUGGUUUUUUAAUUUAAUUUAAUUUUUUUUACAUUUAUUUUUAUUUCUUUUUAAAGAUGUGAAAGGGAAACCAAAUCAUGUAUUAUUUAUGUAAUAAUUAUGAUGGACCAAGUCCAAGCUCUGUUGGCCUUGUUGAGGUAACAAGGGAUUGGAUGGGAUGGGAGACAUUGAAAUAUUUUUAUUUAUCAAAAUAAUGAAAUAGGAUGAAUUUAAUUUAUUUUAAAGGAGGACUUAUAUUAAGUUAUUCACCUCUACUUAUUUUCAUUCAUUUUUAUCUUUUCCCCUUUUUUUUCUCUCCUUAUAAUAUCCAUAAAUAAUUAAUAAAUACCUCAAUUUUUUUUUUAAAAGUCAUUAUUCUUUAAAGUAAAUCAGAAAGAGUUGUUACAUUUUAUCAAGGAGUUAUUAUCAUUUUAUGUUUAUAAAAAUAGAAAAUAAGAUGGUAUUUGAUAUUUUUUUCUUAAUUCUAAAUAGAACUUAAAACUAAAUAGUUUUGAGUAUUAAAUUGUUUACUUUUGUAAUAUUGUAUUUUUAUUAAGGAAUAAAAGUUAAAAAAAAACCAAUAUAUUACUUUUUUUAUUUAGAAAAAUGUAAAUAUUUUGAUUUUUUUUAAUUUGAUAAAAAAAUUAUAAUAAGUUAUAAAAAAGUAGAAAAACCAAUAAUAUAAAAUCUGAAAGUAAAUUGCUUUUAGUAAAAAGUUAAAAAAACAAACAUCCUCUAAAAAAAUAUAUCCAAACAAUGUUUAAAUUAAUUUUAGUAAUAAUAAAUUGAUAUCGUGGCUAAAACCCCGAGAAAUAUUACAUGAUAUAUCAUUUACGACUUACUAGUAAUUAGGAAUCAAAGAAAAAAAAGAGAGAGAAAAGCAAAUUACUUUUUUUUUUUGUUUUUUUGCUUUUGAUUUUUACGAAAAUGGGCUGGAAAUUGAUUGAAUUGAUGAAGAGGAGUUGAAUUAAUGUCUCAUUUUUCAGGUAUAUUGCAAUGAUAAGAUGCAAUUGACUCCUGUUGAGAAAAAGCAAAAGAUAAAAACGAGAAUGUGAUUCGCAUGGACUAUUCCAAAAACUCAAAAGCUCAGAGUAUGAAUAAAUGUAACUGCUCAAUGCUCAUCAUCAUAUUCAUAGAUUGUAAGAGAGAGAGGCAGUGGAAAAAGGCUUGUGAAUGUAAGCGCUUUUUUUUUUCUCUUUUGUCAACUUUAUUCAUAGGGGGAGCAGAGUCAAACCAAUGGUGGGCUAAGUGGCUCCUUUUCCAGUGUGCAAUCACCUUAUUAACUUGGUGCCACACUGCAAUCAUGUGAUACCAUACCAUACCAUAGUUUUGAGUAUCCGGGAAAAUAAAAAUAAAAACAAAACAUAGUUGGAACUAUUUUCAAAACCUUUCUAGAAAACAGUCUUUGAUAAUUAUUUUUAAAAAUUAUUUUAUAAUAUUUUAUAAAAUAAUAAUCUGGUUCGAGACGCCAACCAUUUUUAAUAUUUUUAAAUAUAAUUUUUAUAUUUACUAUUUUAUUUUUAAUAAUUCUACAUAUUUAUAUAAUUAUUUUUUAAAACAAUUCUUAUAAAACAAGUGAAAAUAAUUAUUUUAUGAAAUAAAAAUAAAAAAACAGAUUUCUGGUUAUCAAAUGUAUUUUUAUGCUUUUUUUUUUGUUAAAUAGAGCAGUAAGAUUUGCUUAUAAAUUAUUUUUGAAAACUGUUAUAUAAUAUUUUAUAAAAUAAAUAUUUAUAAAUAAUUUUUAUAUGUAGUAUAUCUAUAUAAUUAUUUUUAAAAUAAUUGAAAAUAGUCAAAAGAUGUUUUAUAAAAACAUUUUAUUUUUUUGUUUUAAAAAACAAAAUUGUUUUCUAUUUAUUAGUUUUUAUUUUAUUAUUAUACAUGUUUUUUUUUUCUGGGAACAGAUUGUUUUCAAAAAUAGUUAUAAAUUAGACUUUAACUUAAUUUAUUUUAAAAACAAAUUAAUGGAAGUAAAAAGAAUCUGAAACUAUUUAUCAAACUAAUGUUUAUAGACCACCUGGAUUGAAGUUUUUAUUUGUUUAUUUAUUUAUUUACAUAGCUAUCGUCUUUUUUUUUUAAAUAAAAAAAUUACUUUCUUUAAUGUACUCCAUAGCCAUCCAUAAGAGGAACAAAUUUUAGGGACCAUCUCUAUACGGGAAAAUAAGUAGAUUUUUUUUUUUUUUUAACUAUCAUUUGAAAAAAAAAAAAGACAAAGUGGAUACUAUUAUUAUUAUUAUUUUAUUAUAACUAAAUCUUAAACAUACAAUUUUUUAUAUUAAAUUUUAAUUAACUUCUAACCCAAGAAAAAUGGAGAAUAACCCAUAGACAUGUUACUUCCUUCAUGUGGAAUAAAUGUUAAGAUGAGUGAAGUCUAACUAUUAUCUUAAUAAUAAGGGUAUUUUAAGUUGAGGUAUUUUGGGAAUUUUAUGUAUGCAAUUUGGUUAUUUUAUUUAUAUUAUGCUUAAAGUAGCUAAUUUUAAGAGAAAAUUUUAUUUUUGACGUAUUGAGAGAUGAAAAAACGUAGAGAGAAAAAUCUAGAAAGUGAGAUAUUUUGGGAUUCUCUUAUAUUUUUUUUUUAUCAUAGUGACAUACAUAACUCUCACAUUGAAAAUGACUAUAAAUUUCAUGUGUUCUUGUAUUUUAUUUUCGACAUUGAUUUAUUGUCUUUUUGUAACUUCCAAUAAGGAAUGAAAGUAAAGAAUGUACCCACAAAAAUUUGGAGAACGAAAUUCUAAAAAUGGAAAAUUUGCUUUUAAGAAAACGAUUUCUCAUCCUGUCUUUUACAAAAAUGGGUGUUAGCCAUUCACCAUCACCCAUUCGUCCCUUCUCCUUACCAUCACUACCAAAAUUAGCAAAUGAAUUUUUUUUUUCUUCUGACUUUUAUAAUUAAAAAGCCCAUCUUAAAAAUUAUAUUUAUUCUCAAUUAAAAUAAAUUAAAAAUUAGAAAAUAUAAAUAUAAAAUAUUAGCACAAUUACUUACAUUUUAUUUUUUAUUUUUUAUAAAUAUUUGUGCAAUUAAAUAUUUAAUUUCAUUUGUUAUGUUUAUAUAUUUUAGACCUUUUCCCCCUACUCCAUUUCAUAAAGUUUAAUAAUGAAUCAUUAAUGAGUUGAAAUUAAACAAUAACAUGAUGAUUAUAACACAAAAAAAAAAAAAACCAAAAUAUCUGAAAAAUAAUUAUCGAACUUUCAAUCUUGAUCGUUAAAAAUAUAUAAAAACAUUUACACCCAUGAAUGAAAGUAACAACAAUAGAACCAAAGUAUUAAAAAUAUUAGAUUAGACAUUAAAGAUCGGACUAAGUACAAAUAAAAGUGCAUAUGACAAUGAUUUUGGGAAGUAUUUUUAGUCUUUCUAAUACUUGAAAAUUUUUAUUUUUUUAAGUAUUAGAAAUACUAAAAAUACUUUUCAAAAUCAUUUCCAAACGUACUCUAAAUAAGACAAAAGUAUGAAAUAAUGACCCUUAAAUGCGCAUGUGACAUAAUUUGAUUGACUAACAUUUUUUUUAGUAUAAUAAAAUCCCUAUAAAAUAAUAUUUUUGAGACCAAAAGAAAUUAUUAUUUGAAGGGAUUUAUUGAUAAAUGAAUAAUUUAUUAAUUUAUUGAUAAAUAAAUAUUUAUUAAUUUAUAAAAGUAUUAUGCUUCUAUUAAAUAAUAUUUGGACAUGUAUGAUUUAUAAAUUUAAAAAUAAUAGAUCUAAUAAAAAGUUAAUACAUAAAAACCUAAGAUAUGUUUUAAAAAACAAAAGAUGAUUAUUAAUUGUAAAUAAUAAUAAAAUUUUUUAAAACUUAAUAUCUUAAAAGAUAAAAAGGUGUUAAGUAUACAAUUCAAUGAGUGAAUUAAGAAAUAGGAAGUAUAAGAAAUUACUUAAUACAUACUAUAUAUAUAUAUAUAUAUAUAUUAAUUUAUAUUUUUGGGGCUAUAAAAUAUUAUUAUAUUAUAUAUUUAUUGAGAUUAUUAAUUUAGUACACUAACCCAAGUUGGGAUCAAAAGAUUUUAAAUUUUUAUUUUUUUAUUUGAGUUAAGUUAUUAAUUUAUGGAAGUUUUACUAUAGGUAAAUCUUGGAUAUUGCAGUGGGACAAAAAUUGGUAUCAAUAUCGAAAACCUAUCUAAUGGACUGUCAUAGUGAACUUUUGGAUUUAGAUUUAUUGGAUUUUUUAGACCAAAUACUGAUGUAACAUGCAUGAAGAUUGAGUAGAAAUUAUUGAACAAUAUCACAAUAAUUAUCAACAACAUAAGGGCAAGAUUUUGAUGGUGUCACCUUGCACAUAAGCUUCUAACAAUUAGUACAAUCAAGUAUCAAAUUUUUACUUCUUCCUUCCACCAAAACCAACUCAUUUCCAUGUGUUCCAACUGCAGACAAAGCAGUAUUAUCCUUCUUCCCAAACAAGUGAUGUACAUACCUGUCACCUUAUCUCUGGCCUGCAUGCAUGAAAAAGCAUCAACACCAGCCUUGAGGCCAUCUAUUUGCAGGGUCCCAUCUGGGGAACCAUCUCUUUUUCUUCGGGUUUGAACCCAAGGCAGCAGCAUUCUCCUUGUGUGGCGCCCGCAUCAGCUUUGAGAAAAAGCCUUUUCUUCUGCCAUGGCUUGGUGUUGGGGGAUAUGCGGGCUUAGGGGUUGGAGUUUUAGGCAAGUAGAUGAAAUCAUCAUCCUCAGCUGGAAAUAUUUCAUCACGAGUCCGAAUACUAUUGAGCUUUAGGUACCUCUGCUCAAGGGACUCCUUGGGGAUGUCUCUUGCCAACAAGGGAGAUGCACCACCCCAGUUGUUGGAGCCCAAAGAUGGGUGUUGGGGUGUUCUGAAUUCCACUAGUUCUCUUUGCCUCAUCUCCUUUUUCUUUCCACUCCUCUCGAUCGGCUUUUCCAGUACUAUACUAGCAUCUUUGGAAUCUUGGUAUUGUAUAUAUAAAUGGGAUAAUGUUUCCAAAAAAACCUCAUUGUAUUAUGCUCCAAAGUUGUAAGAGUACUAUUACAAUGGCUUACAGGCAUCUCCCAUUGUGUUAAUAUCCACAAAUGUCCUUGGACAACCUCUAGCCAGUUGGAGCAGAAUCCUUGACCCCAUGGGCAAAGGAUGCAUCCAUGGUUCAGUCGUCAUCUGCAAUGGAAUGGAACCACACAUAUGAGAGUACAUAGAUAUUUAAUUGAAAUCAUUAAUGGGCAUACUUCAGAGAUUAGAAAUUAGUCCCAUGGCCUUAACCUUGGGGGAUUCUGUAAUUCAGCAGGAAGAUGAAGGACAGAAAUUGAAACAAGUCGCCAUCAGUUGGCCAAAAAGUCUUGUUGCAGACAAAAGGGGGCGGUUAAUACAAGAACUUGGGUGAUGUUAACAUCCAUUUCUUUUGUAAAAAAGAAAUGUUCAGAUGCCAACUAAAUGGAGGAAACGAAGUCAUCGCCUGCCUAGUUGGUUGGCCUUUCUUGAUUCUGCAACUUCAUAGCAUUUGUUUACAGAUAAUAAACUUUUAUUGAUAACUGAUGGCAAAGAAAAUGAAUAGAUUUCUACAUUGAGUUCUAAUUCCCAAAUUGAAUCAAAUCCUGAGAACUGGUAAACCAAAAAGAAAAAAGAAAAAAAAUAGCAAUCACCUUUAUAGGAAUAAAUUCAGAGGAGUUAUUGUUCAGCUAAUUUAUGCAGAAGGAAAAAAAACUUCGGUGACUUGGACUAUAUCACACGUAAAAAGGGGUAUUUUUGAGUUUCCAUUUGCUAAUAUAUUCUCAAAUAGUCGUUCCAAAGUGGCAAGAUUGCGCGUUCUGUCUGCACAAAAGAAUUGAGGGAGAGCAAAAAGAGCAAGAAGUUCCAAUUCCCAUGACAACAAGUGCCUUUGUAUACACCAUCAAGCAAUAUGCUAGAAGCAGAUGCCUCAUCCCUCUGCACAAAGUAAUCGAAGGAUAAAACAGAUUCUUGUAAUAUAUAUCAUAACCAAACAAGCAUUUUUUUUUUAAUGUUAAUCAACUAAUAUUCCUAAUCUCAAGCCAAUAGAAGUUCACAAUAAUAAGAUGUAUCAUAAUCUAUGUAUAAAAAUGAGAUUUGACCAACAACUCUCAGGGCACAGUCAUGCAGUCUCUUGAGUAAUUGCAUUAACUCAAACAUUUCACAGUUUCACUCUAGUCAUGGCGGCCAACCAUACAAAUUUAUUGAUUCCUUGAUCAUUCUGACAGGCAUUUCUCCAGUCCAGCCACACAUGGGAAAUGUGGCAAGAAUGGUGCAUGCCAAUUGCAAGAAAAAGAAUAUGGACUUCUCUUUUUAUCCUUUUUCUGUUCUCUUUCAGAUACUUCAUUUGACUCUGAACUGUCAAAUUAUUUAGGUACUAUCAGAUCUGAUAAAGAAGAACAUGAUGCUCCACCACGUGCAAUAAACAUUAAGACGCACGCUAACUCUUUCAUUCACCUCUGUUAGUAUAUAUAGGUGCAUAACUCGUAUUUAUGCAAAAUUCACAAAGAAGAAAGAAGUAAAAUGGAUUCAGACUCAAGAGCUGCCCCUGAGGUGUGUGCAUUUGGAGUGAUCUGUAGGAGGUUCAAGCCACAUCUUCUCAUGGUUCUUGUUCACACCUGUUAUACUAUUCUCUAUUUCACAGCAGAGGCUGCCUUUAACCAUGGGUUGAAUCCUCAUGUUAUGGUGACUUAUCGACAUUUCAUUGGUGGUUUAGUGAUGUUUCCUUUUGCCUAUGUACUUGAAAGGUACUUUCUUCUCUAGCUGUGCUUGUAUCUGUGUGCUUUCAGUAAUCUUACCAUGAAUCAAGACUCAUCCAAUUCUCAACCAAGUAUCAAGGAAAAACCUAAACCACAUACUCAUUCUACUUGUACUCUUUUGGGUGAGUUUGACAUGCUUAUGCCCAUAAGCCCUGAAACACAAAUAUUCAAUGCAAUCGAUAUUCCAUGCUAUACAUGGGAGAUGCAGUCUAAUUGCAAUAUAUAGUUGAGAGUAGACCAGCAAAUUUUCUGGUCUCAGUUCAUGAUAAUAAGAACACAUUUUCGUCUACUAUUUUUAUUUUCAUCCUAUUUUCAUAUCAGUAUUGGAGAAGAGAGUCCUAUGAUAAAGUUUUCAUGUUUUAUGGCAGGUUUAUCAUUUGAUAUUUGUUUAUGUUUCCUUGCAGGAAAGUAAGGCCAAAGCUGACGCUAGCCUUGUUUGCAGAGAUAUUUGUGCUUUCUCUUUUUGGGUAGGAUAUCUGGGUGCUACUUUCAGCAUAACAUAAAAGAGAUAGUGAGUUUUUCAGUUCGUCUAACAAAGGAAAAACACUGACUGUUCCUCUCCCCCGUGAAAACAGGAUUGGCUUAACGCUUAACAUGUACUUUGCAAGCUUGACAUACACCUCACCAACCUUUCUAGCGUCGAUGGUUAACACCAUUGCAUCCUUGACUUUUGUAAUGGCAAUUAUUCUCAGGUGAGAUUUUGACUCCCAGUCUUACUUGAUUUCAGAAUUUCUAGUCAUUACUAGAAAGAAACCAUCGAAUUCUAAUUUCUAUUUCAUUCCAUGCAGACUGGAACAUCUUGAUAUUAGAAACCCUAGAGGAUUAGCCAAAAUCCUUGGGACCUUAUUUUCCUUGGUGGGGGUCAUGAUCAUGACAUCUUGCAAAGGACCUGUAAUAAGAAACUUGAGCAGCCCUCUAAUCCACAUCGGAAGAAAUAAUAUGCAUGAGAACUGGACGAAAGGGUCGAUUCUAACAGUAGCAAGUUGCAUAACAUGGUCUAUUUGGUACAUUAUGCAGGUAAAUUACUCUUCAACUAGCACUUUCUAUUGCACUAUUGUCCAGAUUGGGACAUGGAUUAACAUAUCCCCCCUGCAAAAACUUGCAAACCAACUAUAGAUGAGACUGCAGGAAAUAGAACAGAAUAAAAAAAUGUCUCAUAAAGAUGUUGGGAUUCUUAAGCUAAUAAGGCCAUGGAAGCAAUAAAGUAGAUGAAAGGAUGUAGAGCAGAAACACACAAGCUUCUAACCAUUCAACAUUCAUGAGCAAAUUAGUAUACAUGAUAAUGAUUAAAACUCACUUACAAGGGCAUAAAAAUAAAGAGAGAUAUAAUGAUACAAGUUCAUUGAGAAAUUUAGAGUAAUAGAUAUAAACAAAGUGGGCAACCGAUCGUGUUAAAGUGGAAAAAGAACAUAAUCAAUCCAAGUGUUCUAUUUUGAGAAAUAAAUUCAGAAGGAAGAAAAAAUACCUAAUAAAGAAUUUCCCUUCCAAGAACAAAUGAUGCAGAGUACAAAUGUGAAUACUGUAGGCAUUUACUAUGAAGAGAUAUCCUGCACCACUGUCAAUUACUACAUGGAUGAACUUUAUCGGAGGAGCACAAUCAGCUGUCAUUGCAGUAAUCAUGCAACAUAAACCAGAAGCAUGGUCAUUUUCAGUCAACAUCCAAUUGUGGUCCACCAUUUAUGCCGUAAGUAAGGUUAUGAUUGGAUUUCAGAUUUAUAUAUACAGUCUAAAGCUAUUGAACAAUUCUAAUUCAUACUUGAUAAUGCCAGGGAGUGGUGUGCUCGGGUAUAAUGAUCUUCCUUUUACUAUGGUGCACUAAACAAAAAGGGCCAGUUUUUGUGACCAUGUUUAAUCCCCUUUCAACAAUAAUGGUGGCAUUUACAGCAUACUUUGUUCUUGGCGAAAAGCUGUAUACGGGCAGGUAAGAAGGUUUAUCCAACUUUUAGAAGCAUUGCACACACAUAUGCCUUGUUUUUAUUGUUCUAAAGGAGUCUUUCCGCUCAUUCAGCAUCGUGGGAGCAGUUAUCGCUAUUAUUGGUUUAUACUUGCUGUUGUGGGGCAAAGAGAUUGAUCAACAAGUUGGGGUGAAGUCCCAAGAGCAAUCCAAUUUAACUUCCGAGGAGCAGAAGGAACCAACCCAGAUUGCCACUUCACCAUAGGGGAGGAUACUACUAUUGAAUCAGGGUGGGAACUUAAACAUAAACUUCACCAUCGGAUCAUAACAUCAAUUUUUGAAUUAAUAAGCCUAACUCUAUCUCCACGAGUGAUUAAUCUAAAAGUUUUCUCUGAUUUUUUUUUUCAAAAGCGUAUCUUCUUGAUUCUGAUAUAGCUUAUGUAUGAUGUCAAAAGAGGGCUGCCAUCCGCGUAACAAUGGGUCAAAUUUUGCUAUAUCUUAUAGAAAUUCCAAUGGAAUUUGAAUACUAGUGCCUCGACAACCCAAUCAAUAAAUAUUGUGAUGUUUGCUCAGUCGAUAACCAUCUAAUGAUGCAGAAUAAACUGAAUCGAAAAGGGAAAAGGCACAGAAAGUUUUCAGAUGUAAUUUGUGGGUAGCCCUUGAACCCCAUGAUUUUCCCAAGACAGACAAUCCGGUGCCAGUUCUUGGUGCUUGACAAGCAAGACACCAUGUUUCGGGCCUUAGACCUAGUGGGCAAUAUAGUUUAAUGGUGACAGGUUCUUUUGUUGAUGGUAGCAUUACACAAAAGCCACAUUACUUUUCUCAACAAGCCAAUUACUCCCACAUUUUCACAUAAAACGUGGCAGACAAAUCAUUCAAAAAGCAUAGUCACAGCUUCAAUUCGAAUCGUUUAAUGGUAUUAUAAAUUCAAUGAGCUUACAUAAUUGUAUACUUGAUGCUGCUCAAAUUGACUGGAAUUGGAGCUCUUCUAGUUGGAUCUUGCCACCAGAAUGUCAAGAACAGCCAACUAGAAGAGUUGUACAGUAGAGAAAAGGAAAAAAAAAUACAAAAAGACGGAACACAAAUUGAAUGUUGGAUAAGGCAAGGAAUAAAAUAAAUAUCUACAAAUGGCACAAUGUACAGAGGCAGCUUGUGAACCGUCCAUAUGUUUCAAGCACUAAUUUGCAACAGCUGAAUUUUACUUGAGACUUCUUUCACUUUGCUUCCAUUAGUCUUUGUCGAAUCGACUCAGGACUUGAUGUCUUCUUGAUGCUGCAAAAGAAUAGAUGAUAACAUCAAACACCACUGAAAAGUAUCCUUUCACCUUUUAUGGGUGGAACUAGAGAGAGAGAAAUUCCUUUUACUUUCUUGUAAUAUUACCAAUAUAACCUUUAUCUGGCUAUUUAGAAGCAAAUAAAUAUCUAUCUACAUUCUCAAAUUGCCAUAUUAAAUGAAUACAGGUUUGCAUUACACAGGAACAUAUGGCACAAAGAUGACUGAAAAGGCUCACCAUAAUAGCAAGUCCCCACUAGAUGCCAAUUUCUCGGAAAUCCAUUCUGGAACUAGUUCUUGUAGCAACUUAAGCUGUUCUUCAACUUCUCCUGCAAAUAACAAUCAAGAGGAUUUAGCUUGGAUAAAGCUUAUGUAAUGUUGAGUCUGGAAAGGACUAAAGCUUACUUCUAUCAACAAUAUCACAAUGGCUUGCAAGUAUCUUGUGCAUAAGCUCCUCUUUUGUGACAACGGAACGAUUGAUUGACUGAAAUAAGAAAUGAAUCAUGUUGAAGAGCUUAGGUAGACCAACAAUCAUCUCUCGCCUCCUCUUUGCUUGUGAGAUGGCUGGAUCCUGCUCUUCUAUUGCCUUUCUCUCUUUCUCCCUUAUCUGCAAAAGGGGCAAUAAGGUUAACUUUUUGAUUGAAAUCUCGAAAUCAACAUGAUCACAAGCCUUCUUGUGCCGUAACCUUAAUAUAUUCAUCUCUAACAAGAUGUCAAAAAGACAAGAUCAUGAUAGAGCUUAUAAAAUUGUUUUCAUCAAAACCACAACCUUAUAUUAAGAUUGCCUUGAUUUCAACCCCUCCCCCCAAAAAACCCAUCAAAUUGUUUAUUAGCACAAGAAACUUCCCUUUCUCGACCAAAUUCUCAGAUUCUCAAAAAUAAAAGAAAAUAUUUUUCCGUUUGCUCAUUUGUUUGCAGGAAGCUUUACAGAAAAAUAGUCUGGCAAUUCACACCUCUGUUUCUUUUCCUUUUUCCAUUUUUCUAAAAUCCAUAUCAUACACUAUUUCAACACUAUUCUAGCAGAGGCACACUAUUAAAUGCCUUGAAACAAAUGAAUUUAAAAAUUGGUGAACUUCGAAUAGUAAAUAUAAGAGUUUCAUCUCAGCAGUUUAUAAUAUUUUAGGAAUAAAUUUAGAAACACCAAUAUAUGCUGAUUAAGGAGUCAAUCAUAGGGAGCUUAUGCAGUGCGUACCGAUUCCAGAAGAUUCUCAGGAAGAAUGUCAAGAAUAUCGUUAUCAACUGACAAGCUCCCUUUCUCGUUUACUUCUUCCUUAAUCUCUGCACCCUUCACAGGAGUGUCAAAUUUCAAUGACCUGGAACGGGCUGGACGUCUAACUAACUUGUUUGGUGAAUUGGUGGAAUCAUCAUGCGGACUCAUGAGACAUCUCUUUGGUGGCUGCAAUGAAGGUGUCAUUGUCAUCAACCUGGCUGGACUAAAAGCAAGUUUGGCAGGGGUCACUUGAAUGUCAGGGGUUUUCAUGGAACAAAAAUCUUGAUUGUCUGUAGAAUCUGUCUUUUUCAAUGGAGUUGCAGGUGGGUGAGACAAUGGUAAAUGAGCUGGAGAUGAAGAUUUAACAGGGGAUGGCGCAACAGUAGCAACAACUUCCUCAUUGGAGGAACUUUUGUUAAGGUAUGGAUCCUGAACUGGAAGAUCUGAAAGUUGGAGAGAAAAGUUUGCUGGCUUUUUAUUACUGUUCUCUGCUUCACCUGAAAUUUUCUGUGAAAAGCGCCUCUGGAAGCAUCGAGACAAAUGGGAUGCUACUGCUUGUGGCUGUUCCAUUAGCACAUCACAAGAUGUCUCCGCUGGCAACGAAGAGUAGGAAUCUUUGAUCAUGUUUGAAUGAAGAUCUUGCUUUGACUGACUGAAUGGCUCUGGAAGUGUUUCCUCUGGAAUUUCAUCUCCCUAGAUGCAAAAAUAGCAUUGCUCAGUAAAAUGCGAACAUGAAAGGCAAGAAAAAAUUGAACCAAAUAUAAAACCACUAAAUGGCUUUGCAGAGUGAAAGCACUGAACGAAAAAAUGAAACACCCAACAUGAAAUACAGAAAUUUGAAAAUGCCCAUACCUCGGGAUGGGCUUUAGCAAAAUCCAAAAGCCGUGCUCGAAAUAUUUUCCUCAAAUGAGAAUUUCCACUUUCUAAUUUUGAGUUCUCUAUCCCAUCAACAUCCAGUGUAAUAAGGAGAUCUGGUUUCAUACAACUGGUUCGCUCAUCAAGCAUCAGAACCUUCUUUAUCACGAUAGCCUCAGGCAAAAUGUACUUCAAUUGAGCUAAGUUGCCAUGUGAGAACCUCCUAAAAAUCAUAACAAAAAAGAGAGAAAUUACAGUGAUCAAUCUCCAGGCCGCAACAGUACAAAUACCUGAAUAUAAAUGCUUCAUUCGACUAGCAGGAAAAAAAAUAGUUUGACUCCAAACGAAAACCUAACUGAGUCUAAUUUUAUGAAAUCAAAACCAACAGAAGAAUAAGACCCCAUUUUCAUCUUGUUAUCCUCCCUUAUCAUCAUUUUUUUCAUGAACCAAACAGCGAAUUGUAGAAAACCCAGAUUCCAAUCUUUAAUCAGAACCAAAAACAAAACCAAGUACCAUCUGCUAUAUACUCAGUUUUAAAUAAAAACAAAACAUACAACUAAAAAGCAUAAAUUUAACCCACAAUCUGCUAUAUCCUCUAUUUAUAAAAAAAAACCCAAAAAAAUUCAUUCCUGUAUCUUCUUUUCCUCAAUUUUUUCAUCUACUAAACAAGAAAUAACAUGAACCAUUAACUCAAUCCACAAUGCAAAACCAAAUACCUAUCGGUUAAACACUCAAUUUUCGGGCAUAUAUUCGUAAAUGUCGACAUUGAACCCUUCAAUCGCAGCAACCGAAUUGAGCUAUCCAAGCUAUCAAAAAACUGAGCCAACAUCUCAUACCUGUAGAAUACAUCCAAAAAAAUUUAAUAAAUUUCCUCCUAAUAUCCAUGAACAAAAAAUGCUGAUAAUAAUAACUAUAAUAAAAACAAAAUUCUUCAAUGUUUCUCAAAAUUCACAGAAUCUUACUUUUCCGGUAGCUUCAUAGAGCGGUUCACAUUCUUCUGUCUCGAAGGCGACGCAACAGGAUCCACCGAUGCGGUCCGAGCAGAUCCCACCGGAGCGGUUCGAGCGGAUUGGACUGGAGCUGACUUUGUGAGGGUAGUGGCCAUUUGUUUCACUUCUUUAAUGGAGAGUGCGACGGAGCCAUUUCGACCUCGGCGAGGGGGGAGGGCGGGCUUCUCGGGGGUUUUGGAGCUCCAUGGAUCGUGAUCUGGAGCUUUGGUUUGAUCUACCUUCGAGCUUGACUUUGCGAUCUUCUUCGACUUGAAAGGAUUGAAUGCUGAAGCGGACAUUGUGGUUUGUGGAGAGUAGAAACAGUAGAGUUGCAGAGUGGCAGUAAGGAUUUGCAGGUGGUGGCGGAGAAGACGAAGGUAUACUAGGGUUUUUGGCGCGAAACCUACUGACGUGUGCGCUGCCAGGUCAGAUUUCCCGCCACAGAAUUCCCGGGGUUUCUCUGGGCCGUUCAAUGGAAUUGCCAAGCCCCUCCUCGUCCUGCCCAUUGUCGAGCCGGACCAGCCCAUUUUGUGAAUAGAUGGGGCCCAUUACGUGUAGGUUGUAAGCCCAAACCAGACCAACUGGACUUCAGUCCAUUUUCCUGAUAUUUUCAUUGGGCUCCUGUAGAAUAUCGACCCAAUCUAUUUUCGAUAUGAUUUCAUCGGGCCAUCUAUAUUAUUGGCCCCAAUCCAUAUUGGGAUUUUGGAUGAGCGUAAGAUGGUUUAGUAGAUAUCAGCCUUUUUCGGAUUUAUUUUUGUUUGAAAAACAGUAAAAAAUAAAUUAAUGAAAUAAUAAUAAAAAUAAUAAAUAAAUAAAAGAGAAAAAAGUAAAUCUAAAUUCUAAUUUCCAGAAUAUUUUAAAUUUUUAAAAAGGAUUUUUUCACUUGAGGUGAUCAAUUAAUUUUCAAAAUAUUUUAUUUAAAAAAUUAUAUUAAAUAAACACGAGUAAUCCAUUUUUAAAAAAUAUAAAUAAAUCAUGUCAGAAAGUGCACGUAUGGUAACCUUAAAAAAGUUUUAUUGAACAUUUAGCGUUGAAGAAAUUCAAUCGAGAUUUUAGAAGAAUUAAGAAGAAUAAAAAAAGGAAAAAAAAUUAUAAAUGAUUGAUAAUAAGUAGGAAAGAAGUGUAUGAAAAUAGGAAGAGUUUGAAGAGGAAACUACACUCUAGGCCCAACAACAUAGUACCAUCCUACAAAAAACAAAUCCAACCCCAAAUCAAAGAUGGGAUUGGGGGGUGAGCCUAACUCUCAAAGGGAUACAGAACCUUUCUUGUAUAUCAAUUGUUAUCAUAUCGUCGGUUAAGUAACAAAACCACUGUUCCACCUUGGGUUUGGUUUGGAAUUUUGGAAAUUCUGAUUGAGAGGGGAGAGGAGUGGGCAAAUUGACGUUUCCAUCUUCACGUUUCCUUUUGUGUAUAAUAUAUAUGGGGAGAGAAUAGAGAUGGCUAAAACUCCUCAGAAAUUAUUAAAGAAUCUCUGAAAAUUCCUCUUUCGUCCACGCAAUUCCCUCUCUCUUGGGUUUUGCCCUUUUCUUUAAUUUCUUUCUUUCUUCUUGUUUCGGUCUCUGAAGGCAGCCCCAACCCCCCCUUCCGUUCUCCGUACCAAUUCCUCUGAUUUCCCCCGAUUUGAUUGUCUUUCUGGUCGCAAUUCUCAUCUGGGUUUUUGCCAAUUUCGACUUUCUUUGAUUGUCGCCGCUCAACCCCACCUUUCCUUUUAGGGGUUGCAGGUAAAUUUUUCUUUUCCUGCACCUGGGUCUUUUUUUUUCCUUUUUUUUUUCUGUGCAAAAUUGAAAUUGGUCGUCAUGUGAUUGGGGUGAACUGUUUGAUGGGUAUUUGGGGUUUACUUGUAGUGAUCAAAACUAGCUCCUUUUAGCUAGUCGUGAUCGUAAUCUUCAUGGUCUCAAUCAUAUGACAACGAUAAUCACUAUAUGUUUUUCUUUAUAAUGCCCUAUUCUUACGAUACAGAUGUCAAUUCCAAUCAUUUUCAAUGAUUGAAUAGUUGAAUAAUGACACUUCCUUUUCGUUGCCACUUUGUGGGUCUUAAUUUAUGUGCAGUUCAGUUGACUGGGUUCUGGGAUUGGUGAAGUUAUGUUUGUGUGCAGAGGCUUUGAUUGCAUUGGUGUUUCUGGGGAAUUGCAAAGCUGAACCCUAUUUAUUGCAUUGCUUAUGCCCAACUGGUUAGUGAGAAAGUUAACUUUGAGCUGGAUUUUCCAAGUUGAAUUCAGUUGGUAUCUGUUUUAGUCAGAAGUCUUGAGUUUCAAUGUGAUUAGUUUAUGGAGAAAGGUAGUUCUUAGUGAUUAGUAGCAGUUGCAGGUGAGUAUUGAUAAAUACUUUGUUUGACUUCAAGAUGCUUUUGACAUUUAGGUGUGUUGGCUACUAGUAAAUGGAGUGAGUUUAAGGGUUCCAGGGGGAAUUAAUCUGAAAAAAAGUGAGGUGUUAAGACCGUAUUAUGCAUUUAUUUGAAUCACUUGGAAAGUGAAAAUCUGAUUUCAAAUAUGGUUGAUUAUGCUCAUAUGAAGGUCAUAGAGGUGUCGCGGAAUAGAGAAGUCCACUUACUAUGCAAAGGAAAAUUUCUUAGUAACUUGUAUUACUACUGUUUCUUUCCUAAAUAAUUCUGAUAAUGGAUAAAUUGUUUGACGCUUAACUGUUUAACUUAGUAACAUCACAAUGUUACACAUCAUUCGAUUUGUGGAGAGGGGCUUUAAUUGUUGUGUCUAUUUUCCUGGUUAAGGUUACAUAGUUAAUCAAAAUGAACUGCUGGCCUGGGAUGUAAGGUGUGGCUGACAUAUCAAUGAUUAUUGUUCUUAGUAAAUUGCUCAUUUAGUUUAGAUUCAAUUGUUGCAAAUGAGUGCUUUAUUGACACUCUUUCACCACAUUCCUUUAGCAGUUGCCUGUUAUGUAGUAAUAACAUUUGAGUGAAUCUAAGUUCAUCCUCUUUCUUAUUGGGAGUAGUGCACCAAAUUACUUUAGCAAUCAUCUGUACUGCUGACAUGGAAAAGAUUAAAAUUCCCUGAGGGCUUUAUUAACAAAUACAGGCUUUUCAAUGCAUUUUCUUUUCACUUUAUCAUUUCAAGGUGGUCUCUGAUUCUCGAGAUGCAGCAUAAAUAAAACCCUGAAGAGAUCAAUACUCUAGCUGUUGGAUUUACAUUCUCUGUUCUCUUGUGGAGUGAGCAAGUCUUAAAAGAAAAGAAUAUCAAUUUGGUAGUCAUUGCUGUUAACAAAAUAAUGUAAGAGUGUUUCACCAUCUAAUGUGCAAAUUUUAUUAUAUCAGUUAUUGAACCACAACCCUAUGUGCACCUGCUGUGGGUUUGCUAGUUUUGUUGUUAACACUUCAUCUUUUUUUGCAGCAUGCACUAAGUUUUGUUUGUUUAUAUACAAUUCUCUCUUGGCUAUUAUCCGUGAUUCUGUGUAACUGCUUCUACCUUUUAAGGUACAUGUUAUAUUAUAAAAGGGAGUAAUCUGAUUCUCUCUCUUUUUUCCAGCGUGUUGCUUUGACCAUUCAAGCUGUUUGGGGAAUGGACUGGCUGCUUUUGCCUACUGUUGUUGUUUGUGAAUGAUGUUCAGAGGGCAAAAGGGUGCUAAUGCACUUAGCAUAUUUAAAUGGAAGUGGCACGGUGAAUCAUCUUUGACCACAGGAUUGCUAAACGAUGUGCCUCCUGAGAUUGAAUUAUCUGACUAUCGAAGGAUACCAAGUCCUGGUAGUGACAGCCCUUCUGGACUUCUUAAUGGUGAGAGCAGGAAUGUGGAACCAAUCACUGAUUUAGACCUGUUCUUUGAAAGGCUUUACAACUAUUAUUGUGAGAAAGGCCUUUGGUGCAUUAUCAUAAAAUGGAUAGUUGAGCUCCUGAGCCUGGGUUUCACCAUAUGUUUCUCAGCAUUUUUUCUAUUAUUUGUUGAUUGGAAUGGGCUUCACAAUGCAAAAUGUGGGAUGGAUGCAGUUGAAUCUGGAAUUAAGCCCUGUGAUCUUUCUAAGGAAGCGCUUCAUCAACAUCCAUUAACCCCCUUCACACUUUCAAAAGCUAUUAUUGUUGGAUAUUUGGGCUUAUUUUCUGUCUAUUGGAUCUUCUGUUUUUUGAGAUUUUUUGCACAAUUAAAGGAGACUCUGGGAAUACGUCACUUCUAUUACAACAGGUGAAUUUGAACUUGAUCUAAAAUUCAAUGUUGUGUAAACAUUAUCAAAUUAUUUUUGGGAGUCUUUAUAAGCUGAUUUUAGAAGCAAUCUUAAAGAACAAUGAGCAACUUUGUUAUCAUUUUGCAGCCUCCAUGUCACUGACAAUGAGAUUCAAACGAUUCCAUGGGCAUCAAUUCUUGAAAAGGUUGUUCAGUCACAAAGUUCACAACAACUUUGUGUGGUUAAGGACCUUUCUGCUCAUGAUGUGGUGAUGCGAUUGAUGCGGAAGGAGAAUUACUUAAUUGGAAUGCUCAACAAGGGAGUUCUUGCUUUUCCAAUAUCUCGUUGGGUCCCAGGUGCUGGCCCGACUGUUAAAUUUGGCUCAAAUGGAGUGCAGCAUCAUCUGAUACUGACAAAGACCCUUGAAUGGACCUUGAAUUGGUGCAUACUGCAGAGCAUGUUUGAUAGGUAUUUUUCUUUUUAUUUAUAUCAGUCAUGUUUUUAUUUUUAUUUUAUUUUAUUAUUAUUAUUGAAUUUUUAUGGUUAUUGCUAUUUUGAAACUACCUUAAACUUCUGUCCAUGUCAAACCACUUGUCUAGACUUGUUGACACCAACUCGGGCAUUUCCAAUGUACCACCAUGAUUUACAAGUGUCUGGAACAUGUAUUACACCCACAGAAGUCAUAAAAUUUAUUCUUUUCUUUUCUUCAUACUUUGGGGCACUGUUUUCGCGUCUCCUCUUUAUAUAUAUUCUUUUUGAUCUUACCUAUCAAAAAAAAAUUAUUCUUUUCUUCAUUUUUUGUUAAGCUACAAUGUGUUGGUUCUUAGAGACACAUGUUUAUACCAUGGUGACACAUUUAUACUUGCCUUUUCAAUACUAGGUUUUAACAAUUCUUCCACAUACACACAAAAUUUGGUAAGCUCAUAUAUUCAAUAAAGGCACUGCCACAGAUGCUAAAACAUAUGUAGCUGAAUCCUCAAUUCUAAACUUGAGGAAGUUGUUGGAUAAUUUGGAUUCACAGGCUGAGUGAAACGAAUAGUGCAUUUUUUCCGCCUCGUCUUUCUCUUAGGUUUUCAAAUAAUGAAUUUCUAUUCACAUUGAAGCAGCCAUAUUGUUAAUGGUUUUGUUUCUGGAAUCCUACCAAGCUUCAAAUCCAUCUACCACCAUCUGGGUCUUUCUUCUAAAAUAGUAGAUUGUGAUAGAAAAUCAUGACUAGCGGUGUUGCAAAGGGAGUUCCUUAAGUAUAUAUCCAUGUGGACAUGGCUUGUAUUUUUUUUUUUUAAUAUUAUAAAUAUCUUUUUUCAAGCACUUGGUGAUGUCAACUUCUUCUUUUUCUUUUUCUUCUUUUUAAAUUUUAAUUUUUUUUAUAGGUAAAGAUAGGUAUAUAUAAAUUAGUAAUAGAAAAAGGUACACCAUAGUACACAUGAUGUGUACAAGGAGCACCUAAAGCAAGGCCUCAAAAGAAAGAGCACUAAAAACAAAGGCAUUGAGCCUUUACUUAGGUAUAUUCUAAUCCAAGCUGAAAGAUUGCAAAGGAAUGAGAGUUUUAUCAUUUGGUCAUUCUGUUCUUUAUCUUUAAAAGCUCUUUGAUUGUGUUUCCGCCAAAUUGUCCAAAAAAUGCAAAAGGGGGCAACUUUUCACACUUUUUUCUUCUUGUUCUUUAUGGAUAUAAAUCCAUGUGGCUUCUUUAAUAUAUAUGCAUGUGGCUUUUGCAAAUAUAUAUUUUUCAUUAUUAUAAAUCUGCAUUUUGAGGACGCUAAUUUUUUUUAAUGGAUAUAAAUCCAUGUGACUUUAACAAGUAUAUAUUUUUAUUGCGCCUAUAAAGGGGCUGCGCUCCCUCCCCAUUUUUUUUUAUUUAUGGCUAAUUGUCCUUGUACUUUAGUACUUGUUCAUUCUUCUUUGAUAGGCAACAUAAAAGAAAAUGUAUAAAGAAGUGUCCAACAAAACAGGGGGCAUAACCCAUGAACACAUGAUGUACACAAGUCACCCAAAAAGAAGGAAAAGGCUAUACAAGCCCAAUUCAGCUAUCACAAUUAGGCACUGAUUAGCCAACCCCCAUUUAUCUACAACAUCAACAAAGGAGAGUUUUAAGUUCUCCUUAAUCCAAUUACGCACAUGUACAGGAUAGGAGCAAACUUUUUACAGUAAGGUAAACUGGCCUUCAAAUAUUCUAUGGUUACACUCUUUCCAGAGAGUCUAAAAGAGACACAAAGAGAUCAAAACUACUACACCAAUUGAAUAUAAUAUCUCUAAUCAAAUUAGAAAGAAUCCAAACACACCAAGCAAAGUGAAAACUAAAAGACCAUAGUCUCAAAGCUCUGUUUGCAAUGUAGGAUCAUGUUCUUAGUUGACUCGAGUCUUGUUUACUAAGGCAACUCUGCUUUACCAUAGAACAGUCUUGCUUAGUAAGUUGAUCAGAUGUGAGAUUUUUUUUUCAAGUUGUCUCCCAAAUAGAGAAAUAAACCUUAGAUUGCACCUUUGAAUCCAACAUCCCUUUAGCAGGAAAAAGAGAUGAUCUCAUAAUAUCAAACAUUUGUAAUAAGAGUAUACUGAGGAAAAAGGCCUUUCUUUGAAGUCUUCCAAACCAACUUGUCCACUUUCCCAACCUCAACAAAGGGCUCAAUAUGUGUUUAAGAGAUUCCACCAGAUUUACCUCUCAAUCAAAAUAAAUUUAUUCUAAAUGUGGGGUUCCAACAGUUCCCUUCCCAAUACUCAGGAACACAAGCCUCUUUAUGGACUGCCAAAACAAACAACCCAGGUAAAAUAUCUUUGAAAGGCCUACCCCCAUACCAAAUGUCAUGCUAAAACUUGAUUCCAAAACUAUUACCAACUGAAAAGUGUGUUUUUGAGUCCCCCCACCCCACCCCUCCUAAUGGCUUUCCAUAUGCUUGUCCCAUAAGCUUCUUUACUGAGCAACAGCUCCUGCCAUCUUUCCAUACUUUCCUAUGAUUACUUUUGUCUAAAAAAAAUCACCCUCAAUUGCAAAUCUCCAAGGCUACUUACAACCCUGGCCAUGGUCAGAGGCUCAAGGCUCUUAAUGCCCAAACCCUAUAAACACAUACACAACCACUUAAUAAGAUGAAUUUUACUCUCUAAAUUGUCACAUUUCAUUGAAGGUACACCUGGAUCUUCUCUAGAUCACUUACACCAUGCUAGGAUUACAAAAACUGACAUAUAAUAGAUUCACGGGUUAGAAAGAGUGCUCCUCUGGAAAGUCAUCCUUCUCCCUUUAGAUAAAAGCUGCUUCUUCCAGAAUUCCAGUGCUGAAUUUUUCCUCAACAGAAGCCCACAGUGGGGUAGCCUUGAAUGGAGCAUGCAAAGGUAAUCCUAAAUACUUAGAAGGCAGACUUCUCAACCUGCAAUCCAACUGACUGGCCAAUUAGGUGAAUGAACUACGGGACAGGUGACUUCAUUGAAGGAUGUCUUAGGAAUAUAUCAUUUUUUUUUAAUAGGUAGGAAUAUAUCAUUGCCACCCACAAUUUUUUUGGCUUAAUUUGUUUAGGACUUCAUCUUCUAACUCUGUAUAUGCUGUCUUGAGGGUUCCUUUUUGGAGACAGGCAGGAAGGCCCAACCUCUUUAUUAGAUUUUAUAGAAUGGGUGGACUCUUCUUUUUAUAGUGGUUUUGUAGCUACUAUAGCUGAUUUUUUUGUUUCACUUGUAUACUUCCGGUAUACUGUAUUUGCCACUUUAGUUUGGCAUCCUUUUUGUAGUCAUUAAUAUACAUACUCUUAUUUGCCUAUCAAAAAAAAAUCUUCUAACAUACUGGUUCCAGGUCCCAGGUUCCAAUCCCGGGAAAGGAGAGUUGCAUUAGGUUGGCAGCUAGUUUAGAACCUGUUUGUCAAAUUCUUUUGAACACAAAUAUUCCAAAAUUUUGGUCUAAUGUGAUGGUGUUCCAAUGAAGGAAUUUUGUCUGAUGGGCAGAAUGGUUGAAAGGAACUAACUCCAAUUUGUUGCAGUAGGCUUUCUUGAUUUGAGCUGUUACCUGCAUUUGUCAACUGUCUUCUUUUGAAUGGCAUUACAUUGUUUCAUAUUGCUUACUCGUACAUAUGACGCAAUCUGGAAACUUUGCAGUGAACUAUUGGAUAGUUUACUGUAAAGGUAAAGAAAUUUAGUUAUGGCAGAAAGCUAGAAAUGCUCCUUUAUGUAACCACUUGAACAGAAAAGAAUAAAAAGAAAUAUGCUGAAUGCUGUUUAAGAUUGAUGAACGAUUUCUGAUCUUAGUAUACACUGUUUCUGCAGAAACUUUUGUGUUCGAAGGGACUUUGUUUCUAAUCCUAAAACAUUGAAGAAAAGGCUUAUGGUUGUUGGGAUUGUGAUGCUUCUCCUUUCUCCGUUUCUUGUCAUAUUCAUUCUGGUGUUUCGCUUCUUGAGGCAUGCUGAACAGUUUUAUAAUCAUCCAACCACAGCAUCAUCUCGGAGAUGGUCAAAUUUGUCAAAGUGGAUCUUUAGGGAAUUCAAUGAGGUAUUAUUCUUUCUUUUUUAAUUCGAAAUUUGUGGUAUAAUAGGUGGAAACAGUUUAUUUUUCCCUGAAAUAACAAUAAGGCAGAUUGUAUCUGAUGGCUGUACCUAAGAUUAGGAGGGACAUAAUUAGCCCGUUCGGAAAACUCAUUUAUGAAGUAUUCAAGUUCUAUUCCAACACUCAUGAAUUAUUUAUGUUAACAUUUCUCCAGAAAUGAAUAUAUUUUGAUUGCUAGUGGGUAAUUUCCUGCUGUUAUGAGUGUCUUCAAAGAGUAUAAAUUAAAUCAUUAAUUUUUGGCCCUCUCCACUGGCUUGAGAUAGAUUAUUACUGUUAAUGAUUUCUUUUCCUAGCCCCUAGGCCUUAGCACAGUUGGUAAGAGUGGGGAGAAUGGGCUGGUUGGCUACUGAUGACAAAGGUCUUGUUCUCUUUCCACAUGCUAUUUUUUCUUUGGAGAAUGUAGGUUAGCCAAGUCCUUUUGUUGGUGAUGUUCUUUAGCAGAGUCUGAACAAGAUAUCAAAUUAAUACUUGUAAAAAUAAAAAAUAAAAAAAAACAAAAAAAAAACAAGACAUCAAAUUAAUUUCUAUAUGUGAACGUCACUAUAUUUAACUGAAUUACAAUCUACCACAACUUAUCCAAAUAUAGAAGAUUAGAUCUACUAAAAAUUUUAUUAUGUGCAUCUUACCAACUGCACAUGUAUAGUUUAUUAAUAGGAAACUGGGGAAACCUUUAUUAGUGAUGAAUAAAACUGACCAGGAGGUGGGCCCAUCUGCAGAAGCCAA